GGGUACGUACGUAUAACUCAGGUCUGUAGGAACUAACUAAACAUGUAUCAUGCCGGAUAAUACCAUACGUAUUGUACCAGUUCGGUAUCAAUAUGAAUGAUGUACCGAUUUUCAGUAUAUAAAAAAAAAACUCUGUAUCAUAUCGUAUCAAUAUUAUGCUAGCAUGGUAUCGAUAUGAUGUCUGAUACUAAUACGGCGAAUUUCAGUGCAACAUGAGUACAUGGCAGACUUUUGGGAGGCCCAAAAUAUCUUUUAUAUUAUGGAUGAUGAACCGAUUUUUUAUAUGCUAAAAAAAUUUUGUAUCAUAUCGAUAUGGAGUUUGAUACAAAUACGGCGAAUCUCGGUGCAACAUGAGUACAUCGCAGAUUUUUGGGAGACCCGAAAUAUCUUCCGGGUUAUGCAUGAUUUAUCACAGUGGUAAAUAAUCGGCGAAUCCCGUGAUGUGCAGCCGGUAAAAUUCUUGCACAUACCUUAGUCGUAGAAACUAGGAAGGAUCUUGGAAUCACGUAAAAGUAGAACAAGGUUCGUCCAGAAUCGAUGAACAACGUCCUUGAACCAGAACUCGACACGUAGCCGAAAUAAAAGUGACGCCAUGAGCGGCGUGUGGAGAAGAUAAGUUGCUGUGCUCGGUUGAUGUCACUAUAAGGGUCCACCACCUAAUCAGGUAGGGUACGGCUUGUGAUAAGGACUCAUAGCGCAGACUUUGUCUUAUGCAUACGUGUCGCAAUUUAAAUGGAAGCUUGGCCGGAUUAAGCAAUGUACGACCCUAGGUUGCGCUCAACUGGGCCACGACCUGGACGCAACUUGCCGGUAAUCUUUUUUCGGUGUGGAAGCAUUAGAUUCCGUCUGCUUUCUUUCCGUAGUCAUAAAAUCCAAGAAUACGACUCCAAACAAAGAUUAUUUUCUUUUAAAUCACAACACUAGUUAAUUAAUGUAAUUUUUUUUUACUAACGAUUUGAGUGACACGUGUCGCUCGCAGCUGGACGAUUGGGUUCUGUGCCGGAUCUACAACAAGAAAGGCGGCGGGGACCAGAAGGCGGCCGGUUCGAGGAUGGCUGGGCUGCCGGAGCCGGAGCCGGAGCCGGAGCGGAAGCCGGUGUUCGCCCAGCACGUGUCGGAGCUGGGGUACUUUGACCCGGCGGAGUCGAUGCCGAGGCUGCGCACGGACUCGAGCUGCUCGGAGCACGUGCUGUCGCCGGAGGUCGCGUGGGAGAGGGAGGUCCAGAGCCAGCCCCGGGCGGCGUGGAGCCAGCGGGAGAAGGCCCUCGAGGUUCCGGUUACCAACGAGGGUGCUACUGCCUCGGCCGGCGGGGUCGAGUUCUUUCCCCAGCUCGAACCGGUCUCGCUUGAACCGGGUUUCAGAGACCAGUUCCAGGACAUCCUCAUGUAUCUGGGCAAGCCCUUCUGAACCGGCACGUGACAGGGAGUACGCACUGCUAAUGUACGCCGUAGUGAUGGAGUAUGUAUUGACUCGGGGUGACUCAGGCGAGCCGCCAUGGAAUCGGAUGGUGUUGGACGGUGAUCAGAUGGCGAUGAUGUGGCGGCGAUGAGACCGCGUGGCUCCGAGUCGUGGGUCCGUGUAGUCCUACGUUUAAGGAAGUCUGUGUACAUAAUUGUUAGUUAGUGUAAUGGGCGGGUUAAAUAAAUUUCAUUUCCUGUUUAAUUAUUUUCUAUUUAAUUCAAAGCUAUCAUAAGCUAAUCCGAGAAAAAAAAAACAUCAUUGAUUUAUAUAUAUAUAUAUAUAUAUAUAUAUAUUGAUAGNNNNNNNNNNNNNNNNNNNNNNNNNNNNNNNNNNNNNNNNNNNNNNNNNNNNNNNNNNNNNNNNNNNNNNNNNNNNNNNNNNNNNNNNNNNNNNNNNNNNNNNNNNNNNNNNNNNNNNNNNNNNNNNNNNNNNNNNNNNNNNNNNNNNNNNNNNNNNNNNNNNNNNNNNNNNNNNNNNNNNNNNNNNNNNNNNNNNNNNNNNNNNNNNNNNNNNNNNNNNNNNNNNNNNNNNNNNNNNNNNNNNNNNNNNNNNNNNNNNNNNNNNNNNNNNNNNNNNNNNNNNNNNNNNNNNNNNNNNNNNNNNNNNNNNNNNNNNNNNNNNNNNNNNNNNNNNNNNNNNNNNNNNNNUUAUUAUAUAUAUAUAUAUAUAUAUAUAUAUUUGAUAGAUAAAAUUAUUUUUAGCUAAAAGUUAAAUAUUACAAUAGAAAAAUAAAAAGACGUACAGAACCACAUAUUGCGUCGCCUUUUAUACUGCACAGCACUUUGAAGAGAAUUUUUGGAUACACUAGGAGACCUCUCUUUUACCAUUUUGUCAAGUUCUUACUUUUGAUGCUGCUGCUUGCACCGAUACUAGAAUAAGAUGAGUAAUCGUUAUACCAAACAAAAAAAAAAAGAAAACUCUAAUCAAAACUAUUUUAAUAUACUUAAUUUUUUUAUUCUAUUUUUUUAUUUUCAGUCCCAACUUGCAACACUACCAAAUUCUCCUCCUUUGUUUUAUAAUGCAUCAAACCGAAUGAAUGUUUUAUGCAAGUAAAGAAAUAAAAUAAGAAGAAUUCUUAAAAUGCAGCUCGAGUUCCCUUGGAAAUGUCAAGAUCUAUGAGCACUUGUCUUAUUAGAUUUUGGUGCAGUUAGGAUCAUAAUACCUCACAUCCGUGCAAGUUGAACAAAAAUUAAUCUUUUUGCUAACUAGUCAUCCUGCUUCUCGAGAAUGACCUCAAAUGAUUGGUCUAUAUUUUAAUAGCCCUACGUCACAUCUAGGCUCCAGUGACAAUGAGACGUACACCCGAAAUAUGGAACAAAACAAUGACAUUACAAAUUUAUAAAUCAUAGGAAUCCACUCCAUAUUAGAAUGCAUGAUGACACAAGCACUAGUGCUCUAAACGAAGACACUUAUAAAUUGCACAACCACAUUCACUCUCCUUUUAACAAUCGGAUAUAGGGUCACAGAAUAUUGCUUUCUCUAAUUAUUUAUAUGAAGAACCGAGACGUGCAUGCAUUCCUGUGAAUGCCACAUGCUUCUCCAGAGUUGUUGAGAGCAACAAAAUCAGGGCCAUCCCUAAAGUUCAACAGUUCGAAUAGGAUUGCCACUGGCUUCCCUAUCUUGCAUUGAAACAAGCCUGGUACACCAUUCUAUCUCAAGCAUCAGAGAUCCUUAUCCAACAUUAUGCUCCAACACAAUUGCUCACUAAUUACAGCAAAAUCCUACUAAUAAAUCUGCACAUUUACCCAUUAACCUACCAUCCACCACAUAAAGAAUUCCAAGCACCAGCCUCAUCACUAUGCUUUGCGCUUUCUGCUCACUAUGCUUCAUUGCCGCAUAGAUCGUGGCAGGAGUCAAAAUUUAAUCAUGUCCUGCUUCGAGAAGUAUCUCUGAUUAUUUCUGAAACAAAAAUAGCAAAAGCUAUAUGAAUGAACAUGGUCUUCGCAACAAACAUAAAAUGGGGGAAAACCAUGGCAAAAGCAACAAACAUUACGACAGAAGCAGCCAACACUGUUUUAUUGCUUGAUAUUUCUUGCUGUAAACAUGAUAGCAGCGACAAGGACGGGGAACAGAUCAUGUGGAGCGGGCAUGAUGGGUACGAGAAGCCCAAACUCCAAAAACAAGAAACCAGAAUAUGAACAAGAUUGCCCAAUAGCGCGCUGGUCCAUACUUGAUUCUUGAUAGUACAACCUGUCAUUAAAAAGAGACUUGCAUAAUCUUUUAUCUACUAUAUAAGAGGAGCAAACAACCUCAUCUAACCAAUGGAAUGUAAUAAAAAGAUACUAGCAGCCACGAAAGAAUAUAGCUAUCGAACAAAUGAAAAGUCUCAUAUAUUCUACUACUUUUCCACACUAGCAUCAUAAAUAGAAUGAUAUUUAAGAGAAAUAAUAUGUUUAUUCACGGGUUGACAAAGCAUCAUUGGAGUCCCUUGUUACAGGAUUAAUGACCAGUGCCUGCAUCUCCAAUUAACUAUACAACCUUGUGCUUCCAAGCAUUAGAUUCAACAGAUAUAGCAAGAGAAGCCAAAAAUUGGAAAGUAAAAUAACAUUUGGGGUGCCAACUGGUUAGAGUUAGUCAUGUUACUGGGUGUCGGAAAACAAUGACCCAUGUUUCAUCCUGCCAUGCCCUGAUUUUGACCAGGCUUUCUUCCAUAAUUCUCUCAGGGCACAAGCUGGCACCAAUAUUCAUCUUUUGUCAUCACCUUGUCCACCACUAGAUACAUAUUAAAACCUUGCCCAAGUCACCACUGGCUUCCAAAUGUUGCUAGCACAGUAGAUUUAACUGUAAGCCAUAUAAUAUUAUCAACCAAUGUCGACAAAAGCAAGGUUUUGAUAUUGCCAAUCUCAACCCCUUCCCCAGCCAAGAUCCGCUUCCUAUUCCUUUACCAAUCCUGAGCUUUGACUCCACAUGCUCCUUGCCACUAUGCUUCCCACUUGCAUUUCCUCCAAUGUCCAGUUGAUGAACUAGGCAAGUCACACGGAGCAAUCCAAUAUCCUGGGCAAAGUUUUGCUGGAACAAUGAUAGAUAAAAUACUGAGGGUAGACAACAUUAACUCAAGAAACUUGGUCUAGCACUUAAAGACAAUAAUACAUGACUUUGGUAAUAGAGCCUGUUUUCAGACCCAAACUGGGUUCUGCUUUUGCUCACAUUAAUGAGGCAACUGCAAAUUGUAACCCCAUAUAUCAUGCCACUCCCUUCUUGUUCCAACUCCUGUUCUAGUUCUUGGCUUCCUGGAAUCACCAAAUUAACUGAAGCAGGAUGUACAUCCUAUAAUAUGCUCACACUGUCAUGAUGGAAAAAUUCUGUAUUACUCUAUAUAAAUUCUGUACAAACUAAUAUGGCUUUAUUCCCCUCUAAGCAUGCCAUUGAAGUGAGCCACCAUGAAAUUUCUUGCCCGAGGAACCUUUUUUUCCCUUUGUUGGUUACAUUAUUAGUUGUUUUUGAAAGAGCAAAUUUUUCCCAAAAGAUCUAGCACAGGAAUAGGAAGUUCUCUCCUUAAGAAAGAAGCACAAAUACAUAUCCACAAGUUUGCCUGAUGAGCUACAGAUUCAUAUAGCACAAACUUGAUACAGGAUCGGUCAUAAGAUUCCAAAAUAGCUUAUCUUUAUCCACUGUAAAAGUUCUCAGUGACGCUUUGUUCUCUUAAUGCAAACCAAUUUUAAGAUAUAAAAUGAACUGUAGAUUACAAGCAAAGAAAUCAUAUAAGAAAUGUUGGGCCAAAAGAAAACAUAAAUCAAAAGUCAAAAUCUUCAUUUAACAAAAAAAGGAUUAGACAUUCAAGAAUAUAAAACAAAGGAUUUACUUACAAACCGAAGGAAGAUCACAACUGUCAAGGCGCAUAUACCUCCAAGAAGAAUGUGAAGACCAUUUUUUGCAGUUUUCUGCAGGUUGGUGAAAACUUUGUAUGUGAAGCAGCAAAAUGUAUUAGUAAAGCAAACAAUUGUAUUUGAUUAAUGGUUACUGAAAAGUUAUACCAAUUAACCGUCCAUGCCACAAAAUUAUUAGAUGUAUGCAGAUUAUGCCUAUAUAUAUGACUAUACAUAGGUCAUAUGGAAAGGAGAAAGUUAAUAUGAUAUGAAUAAUUGGAAUACGUGGAAUGAUUUUGAAUGGCUACUGCAAGUUGAACAGUGAUAUGCAAUCAUUCCCAUGAAAAUUGUGACAAUUCAAACAGAAAUUCCAGCCACCAUUAUCAGUUGAAACUUUUAAAUUGGCACCAAUCAAACGCAUACCUUUCCAACAUGAGGAGCAAUUAACCAUGCAAGGGUAACUGUAAGAAGGCCAGUAGCAACUAAAAUUCCUGUAAACUCGAUAGCCCAUUUAGUUGUUGGAUUAUCAGGUACCACAUUUUCUGUUGGGUUAUCAGGCAACUCUUCUACAAUUUCUUGUGAAACUGUUAUGGCAUGACUUUGAGGAUUGAACCACAAUGAUAUCUCGCUUAGUCUUUGUCUUCGGAUAGCAGCAAUAGCAUCAGGAUCUACAUCUGAAGCUGUCUCAGUAGGUACAUGUGUAAGCUCCCCCGUAGCUGUCCUCUCCCUUAAUGCUUCAUAAUCCUUCAAGGAAGCCAUGAUCUUUCUGAAAUCUGCAGGCCUUACAUUUUUAGCAACAUUUCCACAUAUCUCACAUGUAGUGGAUCCAUGGCUUAUAAACCACUUCAAUGCACAGGCAUAGUGUGCAAGAGCAAGAUCAUUUUUGCAGGAACAUCCUAGUUCAAUUAGCAUGUCUUGGUGAUGAUAUGAGCCUGAUUCUACAUCAGUGCUACAAACAAAUAUCUCCCCUUCAGGGCUUAUGAACUCUAUAAAUCCAGGAACCCUUCCGCAAUUCUUGGAAUCUUCAUCCUUUUCAGCAAUUCUCUUGGGAACCUCAUCUUCAUUUUUGUUGAUUUCUAAAAUUUCUUGUGAUGGGGGGAUAAUGUCCAAGAAACCUAAGGCAGCAUCCCCCCUUCUGUCUGAUUCUGCACUAUGGCACACCCGACAAAGCAAGAGACCUGCAUCCCUAUCUGUGCUACAAUUUGAUGCCUGUGAUGUAUCUGUGCUACAUCUUGAUGUAUGUGACGUAUAUAACUUCUGACCACUCAUGGAAGUGCAUGAAUUUGUAUCAUUCACUCCACCAGCAUGAAACUGCAUAUGUUCUUCUUUGAGGCCUGUUGGAUAAAUUAAAGACUCCUCUAAGGUCAACAGAAUCUUCUGAGCUUACUCCUAAGCAAGUGGCCCACCUGACAGAAAACUUAUGGUUGAAACAGUAUAACAAGCUAGUAGUAUUCCUACAUUGCACGAAAAGGAGGCAACCGCACAGCCUUUAUGACAAUUUGAGACAAGUUUUUUUUGCUAACUUGAACAUUUAAGAUUAUCCAUGCUUCAGUAACCAAGACAAGUCAGGCAUGCCAGUGACUUUAAAAGGUUGAAUGAUAUUGAUGACUGACAGCCCAGUACAGAAACUGAAAACUGCACCAGAAACCAAUAUCAUGUUCGACUACAAUUGUUCAGAACUAUAAUUACAAAAUUACAAAAAAAUGUCAUCUUACAUUUCCUCAAAAAUUUUGCAAAUUUAAGAAGACUGACGAACAAAAAAGGAAAAAAAUUAAAACACUGGAUAUUCCAGAAACAGCAUUUAUCAUAACAAUAUUUCUCAGGAAUAUAGCUGAUAAAAAUAAAUCCUUACCAUGCUUUAUAAUUUAAUUAUUUCAGAGACACAAACAUAGAAAGACAGGGAGGGUGGGAGGUCAACUGUUUUAACACUCCAAUAUGCAAACAUUAUAUCUGGAUCUGGUCGCUACUGGAAACAGCGACGGAGAAAUACUAAAUCUCACUUCAAACAGAUAAACUGAUCAAUCUCAAAUAGACUUUGGCACCAAAUGAUGUAGUAUGUAUCUCAAGAUUAUAUCAAUUACCCAAAGCCCUUUUGAUGGACAAGUAUAAAAGGAACAUUUCUGAUCCCACAAUAUACUAAUUCUAAGAAAACCACAUUAUCAACAAACUUUUUUAAGAUUUUUAGUAGGAAUUAUCAGAAAGACAAGUUGGAGAACUGGAUGUGCAAAGUCAGUAUGAGCACCUUGACAGUAAAAUACCGAAAGAAAGUAUGAGUGCUUUCUCCCAUUCCUCUUGACAAGAGAUUGCAGAGGCCCAAGUCCAAUCAAAAACAGGGGGAAAAAUGAAAGAGAGUACAACCAUAGUUCAUAGUGUCAGUUUCAAAAUGGAUAGUAAACUCCCCAUACAUAGGUGAACCAAACUGUACUAGAUACACCCUCAGUAUCAAAAUAGGUGCUUCUGGCUGAUCCACUUAUGUUUUUUCAAAGAGCCCAUAUACCAUAGGAGGACAUAAAAACCACAAGCUAGUUAUCCUUGGAACUUGUGCAAUGGGAGCUGGCCAAAAGGCAAGUAUUCAUAUCACAAGCAAGUUAAGCAAGAGGUCUACAAAUCUGACAAAACUAGACAAGGAAUAGGUAUCCCUCAAUAUAGUAUAAAGCCAUAUCAAUUGACAUGAAUUGUUGUGGAGCAUAUAACACAUCCAAUGGCUUUCCCUAAGUGAUCUGUGCCAAAAGUAUACAAUAGUGUUGAAAUGGAGUCAGCUUUUAAAUUAUGAUUAAACAUACCAAAUGCCUGAAACCAUUAGGAGUAAAAAAAUAAACUAUUGCCAAGCAUAAAGAUCCAAGGCCAACCUUUUUUACAGCAACUUAUACAAAAAAAAAAUAAUAAAAAAAAUGCAUGGAAUAUAUUCCAUCAUUUACAUGCACCAACAUAGAAAGGAACUGACUAGUUGGUAGGGUCUUGCUUGUGGUGUGGCUGUGCAAUGCAUUGAAAAACAAUAGUAUAAUUUAUAGUCCAGCUAGCUCCAAAUAUCCUGCUUUAACAUUACUAAUUGCGAAACACAGUAUAGAAUGCAGAACUUUAGUACAACUAGUCAUAGUAUGAGCCAUUACAAAUUACAUUACCCCCUAAUAAUCUGUCAAAAUAAAUAUGUAAUUAGCGUCAGGUCUUUUGGAUAUUAUUUACGAACAAAAAAACAAUUGAACAACAUUGAAAGCCUUCUCAGCACCCAUAGAGUUACGAAACCCAGCUAUAAAGCUAGACAUGAACAAAAACAAACCUUACUGAGCAUCCCCUUCUAGAGAGACGGUCUGAGUUGCUAUGCUUAGUUUGAUGAUUUUGAUAAAAGACUUUAGAUUCUUUUUUAAUAAAAAAACUUGUUAUUGAUUUCAUCUAUUCAACAAAUGAAUUUAAGGUUUUUGACAAAAUCUGGUAUGGUUAAACUUAAUUCUAAUGAAAGCUCCCUUGAGAAUAAAGCACUUCCUAUUGUUGUUGCUUGUUCAAAAGGAAAAUAAGCUGCACUGCCUCCCAAUAUUAUUUUAAAGAAUGUAACUAAUGAUGACAACAAACAUGCUUUAUUAUGGCUUGCUCUUCUAUCCACUUCAAGCACUGGUCCAUGGAUGAUUUUACCCUUACUGUAGGAGUUAGAAGCAUCUCAUAUGGACAUGUUUCUAUCAUCUUUAAUGGGGUGACUAUGCAAUAAUAAUCAUUUCCAAAAAAAUUGGUAGAGCACGUAAUUGCUUGUGCAUGCACUACCUUCCCCCUACUGUAUGCAAUCUCUUUUUGUGAUUAAGAGUUUGAUUUUUGUAGCUUAUUUAUGGUCCCUUAUUUAAAAGGAGAGGCCAAAGAUACUGAAAAUAAUUUAGUAGUCUUUCAUCAAGGUAUCUUUCUUUCCUAGGAAAAAGGCCUGCAAUUUUUCCCCUUAGAAAAUUGAAUCUUUCAAUCAGUUUUCUUGCAAGUAAAAUACAUGAACAUGAAAUCUGCUUUAUGUAGAGGCUAAAAUGUUGCAAUUUUCAUAUGCUCCCAUAAACAGCAGGAAGAAAGGAACUUCAGCUUUUCCAAAGCAUCGCUGUAUGCCUUUUUCAUUUUUUUUUCUCCAUCCACCAAAUUAUCUGCUAACAUCUGAACCACUCCUCAUACAAAACCUUGAUUUCCCUGCUAAAAUAAAGAAACCUUUUGCUCUCCAAAGCAUGGCGAUACAGUCAAAUUUUUUUUUUCAAAACUUUCAUUUUUUUCCCCUUCCAAUGCUUUCCCUGCAGAAAAAAGAAAAAUGCAACUAACUUCUAGGUUUUUCUGCAAAUGGGUAUUACCGUUCUUGGCAUACACGAGGUUUUUUUCCAUUUCCUUAUCAAUCGAUCCAAGCACUACAAAUGAGAAAAGAAUUGUUGUUCCUUGCCAUUCAAAAACUCAUCUGGAAAAUUGUGCAUGUCCUUUCGUUUCAAAUAUUUUGUCAUAUUUCUCCCAUAUCUUAGUAAGUUGUAACGAAGAGAAAAAAGGCUUGUAUAGUACCUUCACCACAAAACUAAUCUAAUCAUGGUAGCAACUUUUCAUUCAUCCCGCAUGAACAAAACCUUGCAUGCAUAUAAAAUCCUCUCCUUUCAUGUUCCUACCCACCCCGGCUUGGCACCAAAUAUACACCGGCAUCCCCCGAGAAACAGCCCUCAUUCCUUGAUAUUGUCAGAAAUGUACAUAUAGAGAACUCAGAAUCAACAGAGACCCUUCAUGCUUCACAGACGCCAAACAACGAAGUAUCUUUCACAUACCAAUACAGGAAGAACCCCAUGUUUUUUGUGGAUACCAGCAUAGCUACCAAGAGGUAUGAGAGUAGAAACCCACCGUAGAGGACGGCAGGUUGGCACUUCCAUCCUUCACAAUUUAUUUCUGUUGAUACCCAAUAAAAUCACCCUAAAUUACAAUGGGCCUUGAUCAAAGGCAAUCCUAUAAUUAUCAAAAAUUAGGUCAAUGAAUUGUAGAUUUACCGAUUCCCUCUCAAAAUCCAUUCUGAAAGCACUUCAAGAACUCCCCAAGAUUAUGCGGGAUUAUAAUUCAAAGCCCAGUAAAUAAAAAACCACUCAAAUUAUCCAUAAAUCAGUGGAUACUUUCUUCCUUCUGCGGAUUUGGAACUAUAACUCAAACACAUUUCUGAGGUUCCACGGAUCACAUAACUAAAUCACAACAAACAACGGUUCGAGAAACAAAACCUCGAGAAGAACCCUGAUUUGCUCUGCUGGACGCAUCGGAGAAAAUCUAAAACGACACGUCAAAGCAAAAUUAUCAAGUCCUUCUCUAGGGUUCCAAUGCAUACCAAAUUCACGGCUUAACGGAGAACAAGAACAUUUCAGCGAUCUACCUCACACAUGUUGAAGGCAAUUCGAAGGAAGAGGAAGUGAACUCACCCUUCGGAGACUCUGCAAACGGACCAAAAGAAUCUCCAGCCCGAACUCGAUCGCAAUCAAUGCCGCUCGAGAAAGGAAGAAAAAGGGCGCAGAGGAAGUAGAGAAUCUAUUUGGCUUGUUGGGAGUGACACGGCGCACCGUGGAAAAAGGCGGCCGGUGAGUGCCGCGUAGUUAGCCUUAAAAAAAGGCUGCCGUACGGACGUAUGCAUAGCCAUUUCUAUGCGUGCGUGGGGAUUGCCCUCCUACCUAUCUAUGAAUGCUGCUAUACCUAACUUCCAAUCCAACAAAAGAAAUAGAAUAUUAAUUGAAAAUAUUCAAAAGUAAGGUAGAUGGUAGAUUCGAAGUUUAAGGUGGCAUUGCUUUAUUAAUGGUUUUAUUUUCUUUUUUUGUAAUGUUGACUUAGGAAAGUGGAAUUGUGGUAGAUUAGGAUGGACUAUCUUUUCAAUGAAACAAUAUGUUUGGUGUUGGAACCAAAGGUCAUGGGACAAUGAAAGAUAUCCAACUAGAGGGGCUUAAUAGGUAUAUGAGACAUGAUGUACUUGGCAUGAAGUUGCACUUUCUAAUGUACCAAUAUGAACAGUGAUGUCUAAAUAUCAUGGUGGUAGUUAGCAAAGCCAAGUUAGGCCGCCGUGCACCUAUAGACGAGAAUCUAGUGCUUUUAAGAGUAAAAUUUAGGCUUAAUGAAUAAUUAAGUGUUUUGACUAACGCAACAUUGUGUGAUUUCAGAAAAUCAGUGUAUUUGCACCUUACCAUAAUAGACUUGAUUAGCAAAAUAUAUGUACCGUAUGGCAUCCAUCAAUGCGAAAUCACUCUAUCGUGUAUUUAGAGUUAAGAGGACGUGCCCUUUUAAAAUUGCAAUUGAGGUACAUUCUCAAUUGAAAGUGUUUUUAGGGAGCUAAGUUGUAGCACGACAUGAUCUCAAUACUCUUUUAACAUGCCAAGCAAGUAAAAUUCAGAAGUUACGCUAUGCAUGAUCAAUUAUGUUUAGUAUCUUAUAAAUUCUUUAAGUCCUUUGCUUAUCAGCAACCGAGAGAUAUAUAUUAUGUUAUAUAUUUGCACGUUGUCUUCGUAGAAAUAGCUGCGAAUCAUCAGCUCAAUAGAGGACCUUUCAUAUUCAUUUUGCACUCUUCCUGAAAAAGCUUCAUCCCGGAUCUAGAUGAGAGACUUGAACCCAAGUCGAUAUCGUCUUUUGAAGACUUUACCUACGCUAUUUGGUACAUCCAAAUGAGCUUUCAUUUGAACCACCUGAUAGUUUAGUAAAUCUCUGCUAUGAAAAUUUUUGUAAUUAUGCUAAAACAUGUUGAUCUUGUGAGCGACUGGCUGACUUUCUAAUAAUUUUGUGAAGAAACUUUGUGAUAAUCCAUGAGUCAAGGAGGAUGGACAUUUUUUUUGUUAUGAAAAACUUGUCACACAAGCAUGGUCCAAUAAAUAUCCUAUAAAAUUUGUAAAUACUAUUGACAUCAUUCUUUUGUUGCAUAGGAAACUACAAUAGAAUUGGUUAGAGAAUUAAUACUUGUAGAACAAUGUUAAGAUACAAUCAUAGUGACAAUAACCCUUCUCCCAUGGCUUGUAAUGUUAGUGCAAGCCUCCACAGUGCAUCAAGACAAGCAAUGAUACACCUUUUCUUAAAGUUCAACAGAUCAGAUCUAAGUCACAUUAUUUUUUAUGGAAAAACAAAGAAAAGAAAGCAAUUUUCUCAUCAUCUCCAACACCCUUUUCUUCUAUAUAUCUUAGAAGCCUCCAUUUCCCAAUGACAUGCACCUCCAAACCGGUCCUUAAAGUUGCAAUGAUCUUCUCUUCUUUCCACCAAAAAUGCCACCGAUCCCACCCGCUGUAAUCCCUUCAAAAGGUUCGAGUCCACUCUAGAGAUAGCACAGGUGUCGGCGAGUAGAGGAAGGCGACACAGCAGUACUCGGCAAACGCCUCGUCGUCAUCGUGCACUCCCUAAUUAGAACGCGCGUUAUGCGUAAAGGAUGACAGCUGUAAGGUCUUCGAUCAGAUCUAUCAGAGAACAAGACACGGAAUGAUUCACGUCUCCGCACCACGUGGUUCGCUGCCUUCGGGUCUCCUCCCCUCACCGACACUCCACAUUUGACCUCAAAUUUUUGCUGCUAUUAGAAUCUUAGCUUUCAUUCCAUUUUUUAUCUCGAGAUGUAGUCCAAGAGGUCCAUUUUCCUGGUCAACACGUUUACACAUGAAAUCUCAAGGCAACUUAGUUUUAUAUUCAUAAGAUCCAAUAAAUACUUAAUUUUUAUGUUGAAAAAUGUAUACUGUUUAAAUUAUUUUUUUAAACUGAUUUGUAAGCUGAUGUGGUAUUUGAUAUGAUAUUUUAUGAAGGUUUUUUUUUUGUAUGAAUAUCUUUCUAAAAAUUCAAAUUUAUGUGAAUGCUCUCUUAAAACUUAUAUAUAUUUUUGUACUCUUAUAAAAUACUAUUUUUGUAUAAAUACUCUUAAUAUAACGAUUUUUUAACAUAGUUAAUAAAAACCAUAUUUAUUAAUUAAAAAUAAAAUAAAUAUCCAUUAAAGGUAUUUUAGUUGUUUUAAUUUGAAACCGUCAAUUUUUUAACGACGUUAGAUAGCAUGGAUAUAUAUGCAAAAAUAAGGAUUAAAAAAAAGGUACAAAAUAACAAAACAAGUGUUUUAAGAUGGUAUGCAUAUAAAUAUCAAUUUUGAGAGGAUAUUUAUGCAAAAUUCAAUAUUUAGAAAGGCAUUCAUGUAGAAAAACUUUUUAAGUAAAUAGUAAGUUCUCUAUUAUUCAAACAUACUUAGUUGUGUCUUAUGAACCGGCACAUAUAUUUUCUCAAGUCUCAUCGUAUCAAUUUUUUAAACUAAUAUACACUAUUAUUGCUAUUGUUUUGUAUGAGGUUGGAUUCGUGACGAGCAAAUUGAUACAAAGUGAUAAGUUAAACUACUGAACUAUGGUCAAAAUUCAUCAAAAUAUACUGUACUAAAGCUAUCAAAGCAAAUUAAUAUGUAAUUAAGAUCCAACUAAUUCAACAAAUUAAUAUAAAUCAAAUAUACAAGCAACUAACGAGCAAUUAAAAAAAUGGAAGGAGAGAGCAGCUCUUGAGAUUUUUCUAUAAUUUUGAGAUCUCUAUAUUUCCUUUUCAUAUCAUUUCCUUUCUAGAGCGGUUCAAGUUUUCUGCCUUUUUGCUCUUAAAUUUCCCCCAAUAUAGUUAUUCUAAAAAUUCCUUUUUCAAUAAAAACCGGGUGUCAUCUUUGCCCCUUGAUUUUACCCGAAAAAAUCAAUAAAAAAUAAGGGCAGUUUCGUCAUUCCAAAAUUAACACCUGGCCUGCCUGGUGUUGGUGGGCCUCCGGUACCACACGAUCCCUUCCGGUGUGCUGUCCGUGCUCGCCGGUUGUCCCCGCGGAGGAUUCGCGUCUCAUGUCCCCUCAAAGGCCUUUUAUUUUAAACGAAACCUACGGUAAAAUACGAACUAACCUCUUAACUCGAUUCUGACGUCAUCGGUUUCCUUCGUCCUUCGCGCGGAUAAAAGGCAUCCGAAGGAACAACCGCCCCCGUUCCCCGCCUAAAUUUUUUAUUAUUUUGCCGGCAUUUAAAAAUAAGAAGUUUAGUACGGUCUUCGUCCACUCGCCUCCUAUAAUACCCUCACGGGGUGCUCCCCCCUCUUCUUCAAAGCCGGGGGAGGGGAGAAGGAACCCUCGAAGCUCUCGCUCGUUUUCUUCUCCUCGCUUCAGAUCCGCAGGGUUUCCAGCUGAAGGAGAGGUAAGGAUGGGCUUUCUCGGGUUCGGAUCUCUUGGAUCUACGUGCUGUUGCUUGUUUUUGCGUCGAUUUGGUCUUUGUUCCAGGAUUUUUUGGGUUUUUUUGAUGUUUUUUUUGGGGGGGGGUAUGUUUCUUUAGAGAGUUGUGGAGUUUGUUCGUAUUUUAAAAAAAUUUAGUCUUGCUGAUGUAGAUCUGUUUUGAGUUAGCUUGAGUUGGAUCUAGUUCGGACUGAGUGAUUCUUGCUUCAAAUUUUGUGAAAAGUAAGUUUAGCUGACACCUUGUGGUGAUUUAGCUUUUUAUGAUGCUAUUCUUGUCGCCAUAUUUGUCUAAUGUGAAAUUGUGUGAUCUCUCUCUUUCUUGAUGUUAUUAUGCUGAGAAUCUGUCUGUUGUUACCGUUUGAUGCGAAGUUGGUGCAGAUCUUGAAGUGCUUAAAUAUAUAAUUUGUUCAGAGAUCUGCGUUUUUUCUUAAAAAAACUUAAAAAUCAGUCGAAAUGGUACGAAUUCGCUCUUUCCCCCCUUCAUAUUGGAGUUAGUUUAACUUUGAUAAAUUAAGGGCUUUUUGGUUAUUUUUAGUUAAAUUGCAGUUUAUUUGCGCCGUACUGGGAGAAAAUUCAAUAUUUUCUACCAUCACCAUCGGUUGAAUCUGCAGUUUGUCGCCUGCUUCGUAUUUUGUAUAAUGCUUGGUGUCCGUUAGUGUUUGUUGCUUAUCUUGUUUAAGCGUUGCACUUGUUUUCAUAACACUGUUAAGUUUUUUUUUUUUUCUUUUCUUCCUGAUAAAUUUAGGAAGUAACCAUUUCAUUUCACGGGCAUGGCAUGUUCAUCAAACUCCUACUUUAUCUUUCUAGAUCUAUAAAGUAUCACUACAGAUCUGCAUGGAGUUUCAUAUAUCCUUUUCUACAUUUCAAUUACAUACUAGAUCUGCUGGAAAUUAGUGAUUUUUGUUACUGUGUUUUCAAGAAAGAGUAUAAGGAGCUUGAUUGUUGUUUUAAAAAUUAUUUUUCUUGCACCAUUUUUUCAGAUAAACUAUUUGAAAGGUGUUUGCGUGUAAUAAAAUGGCAUUCGGGAAAAGCUCGCGGGCAGAUGCUAGGAGGACGUCAUCGUCCUUUUGUUCAACAACAACAAUUGUUGUGUUUGUUGCUCUGUGCUUAGUUGGCGUAUGGAUGAUGACAUCCUCGACUGUAACCCCUGUGGAGAUGUCUCCACCGAGUUCCAAAUCUGAUGCUAAAGAUCAAGUUCCUGAAACUGAUUCUAAGCCAUUUGAAGAUAACUCGGGCGACAUAACUGAAGAUUCAGAGAAGUUGGUGCAGAAGACUCGUGAGGAGAAUCCUGUGAAGGGCAAUGAGGAUACCAAGGAUGAGGCAGAGGACACAUCUAAAACUCUGACUUACAGUGAUAGAAACGGGAAGAGUGAAGAAGAAAAAGUUCAGGAGGGUGGAGAUGCAAAUAUGGAGACAGACACAGGCAGUCGGGCAGAUGGGGAGGGCAGGAACAGGGAACAAAAAUCAGAUGAGCAAGAUACGAACUUGGCAAGGAAUUCCAAGAAAGCUGAAAAUAAUGAACAGCAAGAAACCAAUAGUGAAAAGAAAUCCGAAGAAGAGGAGAAAUCUGAUGGUGAUGAGAAGGAUAAGGGUCAGAUAGAGGAGAAGGUGGAGCAAAGUGAAGGCAAGGAGACAGGACAAAUCUCUGAUAAUAACAAUGCUGGGAACCAGGAUGAGGAUCAAGCCUCAAAUGAGGUGUUUCCAUCUGGGGCCCAGUCAGAGCUUUUAAAUGAGACCAAUACCCAGAAUGGAGCAUGGUCUACACAAGCUGCAGAAUCAAGGAAUGAGAAGGAAGUCCAAGCAUCUGCCUCAUCCAAGGGCCAACUUGUAGGUUACAAUUGGAAGCUUUGUAAUGUCACUGCUGGAGCAGAUUUUAUCCCUUGUCUUGACAAUGAGAAAGCUAUCAGGAAGCUUCCAAGUACCAAACACUACGAACAUCGGGAGAGGCAUUGCCCUGAAGAGCCUCCAACCUGUCUUGUUUCUCUUCCAGAUGGAUAUAAACGACCAAUUAACUGGCCCAAGAGCCGAGACAAGGUUUUUGUUUUGGAAUUCUCUUUGCUUUUUAAUGCUGUACUAUUUCUUCCUUUAGUCAAGUUUAUUUAUUUCUAUUAAUUUUGUGACUAAACUGCAGAUAUGGUAUUCUAAUGUCCCACAUACCAAGCUUGCAGUGGUAAAGGGGCAUCAGAAUUGGGUGAAAGUUUCAGGAGAAUACCUCACUUUUCCAGGGGGUGGAACUCAGUUCAAACAUGGUGCACUCCACUACAUUGAUUUCAUUCAACAGGUUCACUUCUACCACAACUUGUUCUUCUUCUAUAAAAAAUUCUUCUAAUAAUCCCGAACCUAAUCUUUGCAAAAAAGCGUGUACCGUACUUUUAUGUUUACAAGCUAAAGUUCUAGCACACAAAAAUCGAAUUAUAUACUUUAUUUGAUACAAACUCUGUUUUUUUGAGGAUCCACUGUGAUAAUGAGAAAAAUUUUGAUUGUUUUCAANNNNNNNNNNNNNNNNNNNNNNNNNNNNNNNNNNNNNNNNNNNNNNNNNNNNNNNNNNNNNNNNNNNNNNNNNNNNNNNNNNNNNNNNNNNNNNNNNNNNNNNNNNNNNNNNNNNNNNNNNNNNNNNNNNNNNNNNNNNNNNNNNNNNNNNNNNNNNNNNNNNNNNNNNNNNNNNNNNNNNNNNNNNNNNNNNNNNNNNNNNNNNNNNNNNNNNNNNNNNNNNNNNNNNNNNNNNNNNNNNNNNNNNNNNNNNNNNNNNNNNNNNNNNNNNNNNNNNNNNNNNNNNNNNNNNNNNNNNNNNNNNNNNNNNNNNNNNNNNNNNNNNNNNNNNNNNNNNNNNNNNNNNNNAUAUGGUAGCUGCCUUUCUCUGUCUCCUGAUAUUUGCCAUUUCUCAACAAGUGAGAUCCUGUUUUCAUGCCUUCUGAGUGCUUGAAGUUUCUUUUUUUUAUCCUUGGGUGGAUAAUGUUGCUACUCCUAUUGGCUCUUGUAUUUUAUAAUCUUUGUUGCUUAUGUUCCUAUUAUUGCAUUUGAUAGAAAGAACUCACAAUUGUCAUCGCCAUUGUUCCCAUAUCUGCAUGUGCUGUGUUUAGUUAUAACUGUUUGCAUGCUUAUGUUGCUAAUCCCUUUAUUGUGCAAGGUGCCUUCUGUAGAAUUUCUGUUUAACUGUUUAUCUUUCAUGCUUGCUUGAUUAUCUCCUAUGUGCAAUAAUUGGGACAAAAUUUAUAGGGUGCUUAUAAAACAUACUUACAAUCGUGGCAUGUAUUCCUAUUUAAAUGUCCUUUAAAAUUCUCUUAGUUUAGCUUCUCAGUAGGUCUUCUUUUUUAAGAUAAUUUAUGACUUUAUUUUUUAUUUUUUAUUUUUAUUUUUACUUUUAUAUUUUGCUUAUACAUGACAUGUAUGCUUUUAUCUUACUAUUUCAGUCAGUAUCUGAUAUUGCAUGGGGAAAACAAAGCCGUGUUGUUUUGGACGUUGGCUGUGGUGUGGCUAGUUUUGGAGGCUAUCUCUUUGAUAGAGAUGUGCUUACCAUGUCAUUUGCACCCAAAGAUGAGCAUGAAGCUCAAGUGCAAUUUGCUCUUGAGCGAGGAAUCCCAGCUGUAUCAGCAGUCAUGGGCACCAAGAGACUUCCCUACCCUAGCAAGGUCUUUGAUGUUGUCCACUGUGCCCGCUGCCGAGUACCUUGGCAUGUUGAAGGUACUUAAUGUUAGACUUUACGUGGACUUUAUUUAUUUACUCUUACUCUGCUUUGGAAUCUUAGAGGAGGUAACUUGUAGGUGGUAUGCUUUUGUUGGAGUUAAACCGUCUGCUGCGUCCUGGUGGUUACUUUGUGUGGUCUGCUACUCCAGUUUACCAAAAUAUUCCGGAAGAUGUUGGAAUCUGGAAAGGUAAAAUUUAUUCGUAUGUGUUUGCUUGAUUGAAAUAGAUGCAGAGAAAAAAGUGGGCUACUGAAAAAUUUCAAAAUGCAUUAUAAAUUAUCUCAUGGAAACUUUUAAGAAAGCAAAGUCUCAAAUAAACUCAGAAGUCGAAUUAUUCUGAUACUGUCUAAUCCUAAAACAGAGUGAACUUAUUUUAGUUUUAGACUUAUAGCAAACUUUUAGGUUUAGGUCAACCAAAAUGUCAAUGACUAAAUGUGAAGUAAAAUCUGCCUUCUCAAUGGCAAACUUUUUGCUUCAAGUGUUCUUAAAAUAUUUGGUUUGCUGCACCCACACCAGCACCUGCACCUGCACCUGCACCUGCACCUGCCUAUACUUCUGAUUCCGGCAACUAAGCUUUAGUAUCCAUUCCUUAUGAAUUAUUUUUUACCUCUUCUGCAUAAAACACAUUUAAUCAGAAGGAAACCUCAAUGUAUAGGUUUCACCAGACAUGUUUAUUUUGCUAAAUCAUCUUGAGUGGAGCUUAUCUGGUACAAGCUGUAAAGAUAAGAAUCCCACGUCUUGCGCAUGAGUAUGAUAAAAAAAUCUCUUGGCCAAGUGCCUGUAGAAAGUUCUAACCUAUAAUUAUGCGGAUUUUGAUGUCAGCCAUGUCCGCCCUUACAAAGUCCAUGUGCUGGAAAAUGAUAAAUAAAACAAAUGAUACCUUCAACCAAGUGGGUGUAGCAAUCUUCAGAAAACCUUCUGACAAUAAAUGCUAUGAGAAAAGAAUGGAAAACAACCCUCCACUCUGCGAAGAAUCUGAUGAUCCAGAUGCAGCCUGGUAUGCUGAUUCCUUACAGAACAAUCUAUAUAUUUCUUUGGUUGUUUUGUUUUGUUAUUAUGUAUUAUAAUUAAUGCCUAAAUUUGGUGAUGUAUUUCAUGUUUGUGUAGGAAUGUUCCCUUGCAAGCUUGCAUGCACAAAUUGCCUGUAGCUCCUGAUGUGCGUGGGUCACAGUGGCCAGAACAGUGGCCAUUGAGGCUGGAGAAGGCACCCUAUUGGCUAAACAAUUCUGAGGUUGGGGUUUACGGUAAACCUGCCCUGGAGGACUUUGAAGUAGACUAUGAGCAUUGGAAACGAGUUGUAGGCAAGUCAUAUGUCCAUGGAAUGGGAAUCAACUGGUCUCAUGUCAGAAAUGUGAUGGAUAUGAGAUCUGUAUAUGGAGGGUAAGCAGAUAUCAUCCUUCUUUCAAUUGUCGAACUAGUCGGGUUUGGGGAGGGCGGUGGCAGCUUUGUUUUAAGACUUAGAUUUCAGUUUUAUUUGCAUACAAAUUUUAUAGCAACCACAUCAAUUAUGACAAAAUGGAAGGACUUCUGUUUUUCAGAUUUUAUUGUUUCUCAAAUUAACUUGUUCUUUUCUACCAGCAACUUCAAAGUAAAAGGGAACUGAUCAACCGUGUCUCCUUUUUGUCUAUGAGAUGCUGCAAGCAGCAGCUAUAUUUCACUGUUCAUUUGCAGUCUUAAAUUAAUGUCCUUAUGUUUAAGUUCAUUAGCUCAUGUCAUAUGCAGUAUAAAUUUUGCAUAGUUCCUCUAUCCUUUACUUUGAACAUCAAGUUGUAGGGCUGUUGCAAAAUCAUGCUUGGCAUGGCUAAUUGUGCCAAUGGUUUCUCUGCAAUUUAGUGAUUAAACAUGUUGAGUAACUGCAUAUGGAUGACCUACGUGGAUAAUUUGUGUGCUCACAUGUUCUGAAGAGGGUUCAUUGGCCUGAUAAAGAAUCGUUUGUUCAUUCAGUUGUUCUUGCUGAUGAUAUGAUCCAUGCCCACAUAUUGUGUCUUGAUAUUUUUAAGGCUGCCUAGUGUAAAGGUAGGGUCUUCCUGCCUUCCAUUGAGGAUGAUCAGGAAUUUGGCAGCAUGUUGAUGAAGGGCUGAUGUUAGGUGAUAGACUGGUUUUAGAACCUUUUCAAUUCAUGAAAUUUUAUUAUUUUUGUCUUUUUGGUUAUGUAUAGUGGAACGUGAAGGAUCAGUUAUCUGUUUUAUUACCCACUGAUCUAAUAUUUUCUAAAUUCUGAAUUAAGGGAUAAACAGACACCUUUUCUAGGCUUUCUCCUUGUGCUUUCUGUUUUAAAUUUACUUUUAUGCUUGUUUUUGCAGCUUUGCUGCAGCUUUGCGAGACAUGAAGGUGUGGGUCAUGAAUAUUAUCUCAAUUGACUCCCCUGACACGCUUCCCAUUAUUUAUGAACGCGGACUGUUCGGAAUGUAUCAUGAUUGGUGUGAAUCAUUCAGCACCUACCCCAGAACAUAUGAUCUUCUCCAUGCAGACCAUCUAUUCUCAAAGCUCAAAAAGAGGUGAGCGUUAUAAUUUAAUUAUUCACUUAGUUUCAACAAAGCAGAACCAAUUAUUGAAUAUUGGCUAGAAAGUUAAAUAUUCAAUAAUCAUUCUAACAUGAACUUGCUACAAUCCUUGGCCUGUAUGAUUUUCCCCAUUUUCUUUUUUUCUUUUUUGAGGGAACCUGAUUUUGAUUGGAACAUCUCAUAUUUGUUAGUGUCUUACCACUUGGAGGAUACUUCCCAUCCCAAUUGCAGCUCUUUUACCCAAGCCUUUUGACCCUGCUAUCAGAUGGUUAAAGUUCCAGUGGGAUGUGACCCAUCCAUGAUGCACUAUAAUGAUAACCUUCUAACCAAAUGUUGAUCAUCAUUCUGCUAUAGUUAGUGAAAAAUGUUCUCUAAAUUAAUACUGUAUCUUCCUUUCUUAAUACUUUCGAGUAGUAUUAGAAACAACUGGCACUUCUGGCCACAUUGAAGUAUCUCAUUUCAAAAGUGCAUUUGUUACUUCCCUUCCACUCCCAUUAAUUAUGUUAUGGUGCUGGCUGUUUCUGAAUUAUAUUUCCCUUUAGGUGCAAAUUACUGCCGGUGAUUGCGGAGGUGGAUCGGAUACUGAGACCAGAAGGGAAUCUGAUUGUGAGAGACAAUGUGGAGAUAAUUAAUGAAAUAGAGAACAUGGCAAAAUCUUUGCACUGGGAGAUCCGGAUGACCUACUCAAAGAACAAUGAAGGGUUGCUGUGUGUUCAAAAGACAAUGUGGCGGCCAAAAGAGCUAGGGGCAAGCAAGUCAUCGAUGAAUUAGAACCAUCAUCAAUGGUAGUUAGGUAAUUUUGGCUGUUCUCAUGUAGCGGUGUAAAAUUUUUGUUGUAUGCUUUAUCUUUCCUUGUAUCCAAGAAGGGAAAAGCCUUCUAAUUACGGGUCAAUUUUAGAACCAUAUAUUCUUGAAUUAAUGAAAAUAUCCUUCAUUCUUGAAGACUGCAAGAUCUAGUGCUGCUACAGUACCUGGAUCAACUACAGGUGGUGCCAAUAUGAACAUUGUCCAUUAUCAAGAACCUUGUUUGGAUUACAGUUACUGUUUUAUAAAUCUGCACGCAUGAGAAUGGAGGCAUAUCUUAAGCUUACAAGCUCUAUAACUGUCAGAAUUCUUUGUUGACUCGGUUCAUCUUUGCACAACCUUCAGACUAAUGGCUAGGUCCUGCUGUUGGAUGCUUCUGGCUUUCAUUGCACGCAAUAGAACAAUCACUACUAAUUGUUUCUUUUCUGGUGACUAUUAAUUAGGCUUCUGUGGGUUGAUCUUUUUGUUUGUUCCCCUUGUGCAGACAUUUCUUGUUUUUAUUUGGUUCACUGGAAGUGCUUCGCUCAUUUGAAUAAUUUUUUUAAAAAGCUGGUGCCUGGGUAUAUAAUAUUUUGGAAGUAAUUUUUGCAUAUUUGUUUGAUCAUUAAAAAAAAAAGUACAUUUCAGAAUGAUUUGUGUGGUUGAAUAUCUAUUUUUUUUAAAAAUAUAAAAUAUUUGUUAUAUCUUUAAUGAAGAGAAAUUUUUUAUUCCAUUUUAUUUAAAAAGUUUAAGAUUAUUUUUAGAAAAAAAUUAAUUUUUAGUUGGUGAAAAAUUAGAUUCUUUCAUAUCCCCAUAUAUAUAUAUAUAUAUAUAUAUAUAUAUAUAUAUAUAUAUAUAUAUAUAUAUANNNNNNNNNNNNNNNNNNNNUAUAUAUAUAUAUAUAUAUAUAUAUAUAUAUAUAUAUAUAUAUAUAUAUAUAUAUAUGUUCUCAUAAAUUUAAAUUUAAUUUUAUGAAAAGUUUUUUUUUUUUGAAAACUUCAAUUAAAUACGAGAGUCCAAUUUUUUUGUUGGGCUCUGACAUGAUACUAGUUCGAUUUGUAGACAAUUAAACACCACCACCACUCGCACCGCGCAGCUCCUGUGCGCGUUGAUUGGCGCAUUUGGUACCAAUCCUUCACUACCACAGAAGACUGGUGCUGCGAGUGAGAAAGAACUAAUGGAAUUACGUUUUCCGAAAUGGGAAAUGAAUCAUUUCAUAUUGUAAUAAUGCAUCGAACAACCAAAUGGGGCUCACUGGGUGUGGUGAUCUGGAUCUCACUCCUCCAUGUCGAUCACACUUAAGCCUGGUGUAUUUCAUUGAUCACAUUGUAAAAUUUGGGUAGUGAUAUAUGAUACUUUCUUUGAGAGUCCAUAGGAUUAUCCAAAAAGGAGUUGUGGUUAUAAAAUUUGGUGAAGGGAAGGGGUUUGUUAGGAGAUGAGAGGAAUGAUCAUUUAAAUUUCUGAAGGAAAUAAGUCUUUUUUUUUUUUGGUAAAAGAUGCUUUGGGCACCAGCAAAAUGCACAUAAAAAGUUUAUGAGCUUGCAAUUGCUAAUGCGGCAAUUUCAUGAGCAAUCAAAGCGCAUGGGCGCUAGAUAGGUGCUGGGCACAGAACGUAUCCUCCUUAAUAGAGAUUCGGCUACGGUGAUCGCAUAGAUCUAAGGUCCGGGAUGCGCUACAAGGAUAAGUCGUUGCUCCACGACAUUCGUAGGUUACGAGAAGAGUGUGGUUCCUACCAGGCCACGUAUGUAUAUAGGGAAGCAAACGGCGCCACAUGCUAGAUUGCCUUCUUUGCGACUCAUCACUCGGGAGAUAUUCUCUAGACGGACUGUGUGUCACUGUUGGAGCUUUUGUGUAGUAUUUUGUUUUCUGAUUUUGCUAGCUGCAUCCACAUCUAUCGUGUAUGAGCCGUUGUUGUACCAAAAAAAAAGUGUUAGUCUCCCCUUGUUGCUUUAGAAAAUAUUUCUGCGCGCUUGAGCCAUGUAGCAUUACUUUUUAUUUUUAUUUUUUGGUAUGAAUUAGUUAACAAUAGUAAAAGAAAUCCUACAUUAAUGAUAUAAAAUAGGAGUGGAUGAUUAGAUUAAAAUUUGAAGUGAAAAAAAUAAUCGAACAUUGAUUCUAUUUGUUGUUAAAUGUAUUUUCAGAAAUUAGUAUAAAAUUAAUGCAUUCUAGAAUAUAAUUGGCAAAAUUAAACACUAGAAUGGAAUUAUCAUACCUUUUCCCAUGCAUUCUUUCGUUUCAUGCCUAAACAAUGGAAUGAAAAUGAUGAUUUUUCUUCAUUAGUUUUCAUUCAGAUUUUGCUUUUUGUUUUUCUUGUUCAAACUAUCAUUUUAUCCUAAACUAUCUUCUAAAGUAUAAACAAUCAAAUACUAAAACUAUUUUUUAAAAAUAUUUAUACUUUUAAGAAUCUCCAAUCCCUAUUUUUUAAUUUUUAAAAAUACUUUAUUUUAAACUAUAGAUUUGUAUACUCUCUCUCCCUGCCUUGCUAGUACAGAAAGAAGAGAUAAACUGAACGCGAGAAAAAAGAACAACACAUGUAGGACUUAAAGAAUAAAGAGUAAUAAAAAUAGAGAGUGAAAUAAAAGAAGGUUAUUCUUUAAAAAGAAUAGAUGGUAGAAUAGAACAGAGCGGUCAUUCUUAAGCAAAAUUUAUAACUUUCAGCUUAUUCUAGGAUAAACUUAUAGCUGGAAUAAGCUGGAUCAUACCAGACUAGACCUGACCCAAGCCCAAAUUUGGGCUUAUUUCAUGUUCAAGCAUGGCAAAACUAAGGCUCUUUUGGGAGGAUUGUUGGCAGUAGAACUUUUGAAAGUAGAGCUUUCUGAAAUAGAUCUUGUAUAAAAAACUGUUUGCUAUUUGGUAACUAUAUUUCUAAAAUGCUGUGCCAUUUUAACAUGUGUUUGGUAAACAAACUGAGAAAGUACUUUUGGUACGACAAAAUGACUAUAAAAAAUAUUGCAUAAUAUUAUACAAUAGAAAAUAAUAUAAUAUAAUAUAUAUUAAUACAUAAAUAUAUGAUAUAGUAUAAUAUUACUAUAAUGUAAUAUAAUAUUAUUAUAAUAUAGCAAUAUAAUAUUAUAUACUAUAUUAUAAUAUUUUAAUAUAAUAUUAAAUUAUUUAACAUAACAUAUCAAUAUAUUAUGAUAUAAUGUAAUAUAAUAUUAUAUUUAUAGCAUAAUACAAUAAUAAAUAUAUAAAAUAUUAUAAUUAUUAGGGUAAAGUAAUUUUUCAUAAUAUAACAAAUUUUCUAGCUAGGUGAUAAAAUUGAUUAAACCAUUACUAAAUGAACAUUUUGUAUACUUAUUAUAUUUUAUCAUGGGUAUUUUGGUUAAAAAAAGCUUUCCGACCGAGCCUAAAAGUACUUUUUUGGAAAGCUCCAAAAUAGAGCUUCUCCCAAAAAAUUAUUUUUAGCUUUCUGAAAAAGCUAAAUCAGCUUUUCGAAAUUUUUACCAAAUAUCCCUAUUUUAUCUAAAAGUGCUUUUGGAGGCCAGAAAGUACAUUUUAGCCCUCCAAAAGCUCUCCCAAGCCCCGUUUGGAAGAACUUUUGGCAGCAGAGCUUUUGGAAGUAGAGCUGUUGGAAGUAGAGCUUUCUGAAGUAUAGCUUUUAUAAAAAGCUAUUUGCUAUUUGGUAACUAUAUUUUUAAAGUGCUGUGCCACUUUAAUAUAUGUUUGGUAAACAAAAUGGAAAAGUACUUUUGGUAUGAUAAAAUGACCAUAAAGAACAUUGCAUAAUAUUAUACAACAGAAAAUAAUAAAAUAUAAUAUAUAUUAGUACAUAAAUAUAUGAUAUAGUAUAAUAUUACUAUAAUAUAAUAUAACAUAACAUUUUUUAUAAUAUAGUAAUAUAAUAUUAUAUACUAUAUUAUAAUAUUUUAAUAUAAUAUUAAAUUAUUUAACAUAACAUAUCAAUGUAUUAUGAUAUAAUGUAAUAUAAUAUUAUAUUUAUAGUAUAAUACAACAAUAAAUAUAUAAAAUAUUAUAAUUAUUAGUGUAAAGUAAUUUUUCAUAAUAUAGCAAAUUUUCUAGUUAGGUGAUAAAAUUGGUUAAACAAUUAUUAAAGGAACAUUUUGUGUAAUUAUUAUAUUUUAUUUUGGGUAUUUUGGUAAAAAAAAAUAGCUUUCUGACUGGGCCUACGAAUACUUUUUUGGAAAGCUCCAAAAUAGAAUUUCUUCCAAACUUUCUGGAAAAGUUAAAACAGCAUUUCGAAAUUUUUACCAAGCACUCUUAUUUAAUCUAAAAGUAUUUUUGAAGGUUCAGAAAAGCACUCCCAAACGGGGCUAAGCCCAGCGUGAACUUUUUUAAUGGGCUUCAACUUCUAGACCCAAACAGAGAGCCCAGUCUCUAAGCCCGGCCGUGGCUAUUUUCUCUAUCAUUAAUAUAUAAUUCACCCAAACCAGUCCAAGAGACCGGAGGGGAUCGCCUCCUUUUUUUUUUUUUGGCUAAGGUACUCGCUUCCUUCAUCAUCGAGCCAUUCGUCCAUCCAUCCAUCCAUCCAUUCUUUUAGGCGGCGAGGGCGAUGCCAUUAGCGGCAUCUUUCCCUCCCUCUCUCUUCCGACACGCAUCCUUCCGCUCCUCACUUUCUAAAACCCUUUCCUUCCUUCCCCUCCCCCUCCCUUCCCGCUAUGCCCGCCGCCCCUUCUACCUCUCCUCCUCCUCUCUCAGACCAUUCGUCAAACACCCCUCGCGCAGAUCCUUCCGCCCCCGCCCCAUGCCCCACCCCUCCCUCUCCCCUCUCUCCACCGACGCCGCCCCCGCCCUAACCCCUUCCCUUGACCCCGACCCUGACCCCACAGUCGCCGCCUCCACCAGGUCCAAGAAGAAGGCCCGCCGCGAGUCCCCCGAGGGCCUCCUCCGCCACCACCUCGACAUGUGCUCCAAGCGCGGCGACCUCCCCGAUGCCCUCCGCCUCUACGACGCCGCUCGCGCUGCCUCCACCCCCCUCUCCCUCCACCACUACAACGUCCUCCUCUACCUCUGCUCCUCCCCCUCCGACGCCACGGACGACACCCGUGCCCUUGGGCUGGAGCGCGGCUUCGAGAUCUUCCGCCAGAUGGGCGCCGACGCCGUUUCCCCCAAUGAGGCCACCUUCACCAGCGUCGCCCGCCUGGCCGCCGCGAAGCAGGACCCGGACCUCGCCUUUGACCUCGUCAAGCAGAUGUCGAGCGCCGGGAUUCCCCCCAGGCUGAGGUCUUACGGCCCUGCGCUCUUUGGCUUCUGCAAGAAGGGGGAGGUCGAGAAGGCCCACGAGGUGGAGGCCCACAUGGCCGCGGCCGGUGUCGUGCCGGAGGAGCCCGAGCUUGCCGCGCUCCUCAGGCUCAAUGUCGAGAAGGGGAGGGGGGACGACGUGUACCGGCUGCUCCACCGCAUGCGAGCUAUCGUGAGACGGGUAUCGGAGUCCACGGCGGCGAUCGCCGAGGAGUGGUUCAGUUCGGAUGCGGCGGCUGAGGCUGGAGUGGAGGAGUGGGAUGUGGGGAAGGUGAAGGAAGGGGUGGUGAAGGGAGGGGGUGGGUGGCAUGGGCAAGGAUGGUUAGGAAAAGGGCGGUGGAGUGUGGGGAGGAGCGAGAUGGAUGAGAAUGGGGUGUGCCGGCGGUGUGGGGAGAGGCUAGUUUGCAUAGAUAUUGAUCCACAGGAGACGGAGGACUUUGUGAAGUCGUUGGCUUCCCUCGCUUGCCAAAGAGAAGUCAAGACCGACUUCAUGGGUUUCCAGGUUCGUGUGGAUUGUGUUGCAAGUAUAGCUGAUUAUUUCUGCAUCUUGUUUAUACCGGUUCUUGUUUCUCAGUUUGAAAAGAAAGGUUGGAUUUUGUGUCUGGAUGGUUUCCACUGGUUUUUCAUUUCUAUGCAUUGAAAUUCCUUUUUCUUGUAAACAAAAUACCACAUUUCAUUGGACUUUUAGAUGAUCUUGACCUUGCAGUGUUAGAUUGACAUUUUUACGAAAGAUUGAUUAUGCUGCUCUAUGUUGGACAAACAUAUAUGCCUGUGUUAAAAACAGUGUCCUUUAUUACAUUUGAAUUCAGGAAAAUCCAAUGCAGUCAUUAACAGGAUCUGAUGCUUCCCUUGGAUUAAAAAAUCAUGGACCAUGAGUCCAAGAGCGAAUUUAAGUCGGAUGCAUAUUUCAACUAGCAAGCAAAGACUUACCAAUUACUAAAAUUGACACGAUCGCUUAUCCUUUUUCUUAUGGAUAAGGCUUACCAUCCUCAUUUCUUCUGCAUAAGGUUCAUGAUGGUAAAUUGUGGACUAACAAAAUGACAAGUCCAACAUAAAUUAAGUAUUAGCUAAUAAGGUGAAAGUUACUUAUAUUGUAUGUGAAAUAUAUACUAAUUAAAUUAUACUGCAGAUUAACAUAAUGACAUCGUAUUUACUUCCAGCAAAACCUUUGCAUUAUAAAACUAGUGUUAUUGUUCAAUAUCAACUAAAUACAAUUGUUUGUUUUCCUUGUUUCCCUGCAUUUUUCCAUUUUCUAGACACCAACAUGUAUCCAAAUAUGGCACCCAAAUCUAUAUGCGUGCUAUUUGCCCUUGUGUAUCCAUUUUUCAGUAUCCUGCCUUCCUUUCACUUAAAUUAGCAUGUAUCAUUAACAAACAUAUGGAAUAGUAGAAAAUCAAGCAUGUUGCUUUUACUGCCAUAGAUUCAUUGCAUCUUCUAGAAGUAUGGACGAUUUUUGCCUUUUUAGUAUCUUAGAAGCUGAACUCAAUUCAGGAGUGGCUCAACCGUCGUGGACCAUUUGAUGCUGUUAUAGAUGCUGCAAAUGUGGGCCUUUAUAAGCAACACAACUUCAGCUUUUUCCAGGUAAGGGCCUUUUGCAUAAAACGUUAUGAUCCUUGUCAUGUUCCAUUAAUAAGCCCAGCAAUCAUGGAAUGAAAUCCAAUUUAUUUCGAGUUAAAAUAUGUUCACUUCUGUGGCAGCUAAAUUCUGUGGUAAAAGGAAUGCGUCAAAUGAGUCCAUCAAAAAAAAUGCCCCUUAUUAUUUUGCAUUGUCGGCGUGUGAAAGGUGGCCCUGCCGAUAGUCCAAACAAUAAGAAACUAUUGGAGACCUGGCAGAAGGCCGGUGCACUAUAUGCUACCCCUCCAGGCUCAAAUGAUGAUUGGUGAGUUUUUUGCAUAGAGCCUGCCCAAUUCUGCAAUGACUCAACUUUAUCCAUUAUAAAAUUUGUUAAGAAAAAAUAUCUUUGAACUUGUCUCUAUUGAGUAAAUAGUUAUCCCAGUUAGAGACAUAAUAAAAACCAUAGGUGAAAUGAAUGUGAAAACAAGCAAGAAACACAUGCAAAAUUGUUUUCUAAAGGUUUCCCCCGUUAUGUCUUCACUAAUUAUAGAGAUUCUAACAUUAUGGUGCACAAAGAUUCGAAUAGGAAUUCUUUUGAGGCCCAGUGGAAUGAAUAAUAUAGAGGGCUGUUUUUCUUACAACACAUCACUAAAAGAGGAAAUCUUAAAACAAUUAAGGAGCUACCCUUGUGGAACUAACAAAACCUUCGUUAGUUCCUUGGAAGUAGCUCACCACUUUCUCCCUUUCCCUUCUAGAUGGCCUUGGCCAUCCCUCAACCCAUGUGGUCUGCCCCCUCUUAGCAGCACAAUUGCAUCUGUAGUCUCCCUGGUUGCUCCUGUCAUGGCAUUGCAGCCACCAGUGCUCACAUCUCGAUGAUCAACACGGUGCUUUUCGGGUAGUACGCCAAUGCUAGGCCCUUGCUGCUGUGCAGGGUGGCGCGGCAGGCCACCAUUAUCUCUAUUUUCUAGCUUGCUGAUCAAUUCCUUUGCAUGCACAAAAACAAAGACUGCACGAUGGUUGCCUGGCUGCACACUCCAUCCAUUGUCUUUGGCAAGGGAGGCGGAGCUUGAGGCGAGGAGCUUGGAGAGGGUGCAACAUGUGUAAGGGCAAGGUGGUGGCGGAGUGGAGGGCGAGGGAGAUGAUAGUUGCAAUGGUCCAUGACAUGGUUGAUGAGGUCGGCAAGGAGGUGAUCCAUGAGGGUCCGGAAGAUGGUGGUUGGGUUAUGACCGAGGUGGAGGAGUGAUCGUUGGCGUUGACAACAAGGAGGGUGCCAAGUGUCAAGGAGCUUGGAGAAGCAGGGAGGGAUAGGAGGGGUGGAGGUGGCUUCUUGAAAUUGGCUAGUCGGGGAGGAGGGAAUGGAAGUGGUCAACGACAGGGAACCAGAUGAAAUUGAAGGAGAGGGAAGGGCCUCUUCUCAGGAACUAAUGGAGGCUUGCUUAGCCUGUAGAGAUAGAUUUUUACCUACUUUGCGAUUUGCAAUUUGGAUUAUGUGCCAUAUUAUGAGGGGCCUUUCAUAUGACUCAUUCUAGAGGGCCCUCUAUAUAACUUCUAUUCUGAAUUCCUCAUACUUGAUAAAUGCACUCAUUUUUAUCAUUUUUUAUUUUUUGGUCUGCACUUAUUCCUAUGAAAAGCAUACCAUAUCUUUGCCUCUUUGUGUUCAAAAUCUACUCAUUACCUUUUAAGUAAAUCGAUGAUAUCAUUUACAGCAAACUCUCUCUCUCUCUCUCUCUUUCUCUCUGUGUCUCUGUGUGUGUGAAAUUUGUGAUUGUAGAUUGUCUUUGUUGUGCUGAGCUCAAAAGAACAGCUAAUUUUUCAUUUCAAUUCUUGACUUUCUCUUAUCUCUGUCUUUCUAACAUCAAUUUAUACCACUAGCAUGAUUUUACUAACUGCAUGACAUCUUUGCUUUGUUUUAUAAUUUGGCUUUUCAUAUCAUUACAGGUAUUGGUUGUAUGCGGCUGUCAGUUGUAGGUCUUUGCUUGUUACAAAUGAUGAGAUGAGGGACCACUUGUUUGAACUGCUAGGGACUAGUUUCUUCCCUAGAUGGAAAGAGAAGCAUCAGGUCUGUCUAUGCUCCUUACAGCAGUUCAUAACAGUGUAUUUCCAAUACGAUAAUAGCAACUUUUUAGGGUAUCUAUUUGAUUUUAUGAUUCUUUUUAAAUAUCAUUACUCUAGAUUUCUUGGUUAUGAUUAUUGCUUCCUUGUAAACCUUUCUUUUAAUUUCCAUCAAAUUUAAUGCUUUGUUCAAUUUACUUUUGAACCUAAUCUUCCAAGCUUUAUUGUAAAUUCUAGUUAGCAUUUGUAGUAGAAUUUGUCAUCAGAUGGUGCUAAAUCAUUUGCAUAUGAUGCACAUUAAGGACCUGCCUCCUGAUAUUCUCAAUCAACAAUGACAUGACUUGUGGACUUGGAGUAGAUAUGCAUGUUGUUGACAUUAAUGUAUGCAAGUGCUACGUCACACUGUUCUGGUAUUGUUACGUGCGAAUUUUGCAGCUAUAACUUGCAUUUAAAUAUUUGCAGGUGCGUCUUACAUUUUCCAGAAAAGGCCCCAGUUUCCACAUGCCGCCUCCAUAUUCAAUUGUCAUUCAGGUGAUUAAUCCAAAUCUGAUUUCUCAUCCUGCUAGCUGAAAUAUUAGAGUAAUACAAUGUUUGGCUUCAAUAAGCAACGUGCUUUUGUUUUUAGUGAUAUCAGAUGGCUAGGUGAUUCCAGCCCUUUUGGGUUAGAUGCAACUAUGGGCCCAACCUGUGUUGCACUGGCCCAGAGUUGGCCAUUCCAUGUCAUGAUGCAUUCAUAUUAGAUAACCAACCUGCUAGGUAUGGAAUCUUGAUAAGUGGUCCAUUUUUGCCACUUCUCUGAGUGUUUUUGUCCCAUUUUUUGGUUCAUGUCUCUAGUUGCACUAACUUAUGCAGCCCCACAAUUUGGAAAUCUUGAAUAUAUAUCAUGAAUCUUAUACCCUAAACAACCUGCUAGGCCAAGUCUGUCUCUUUAUUGCAAAAUGACCUCAUAGUUCAUACGCUCAGACCAUUGCUUCCUGAUAUGUGGGCGAUAAUGGUCUGGUUUAGGUCAGAUCUACCUUUCUUAUGAAGAGCUAAUUGAUCUGAUCCAAAUCCAAUCUAACCUGGUCAAUGGUGACACUCGCUGACCUGAAUCCACUGGCUCGUCAGUUAGACAUCCAUGUACCUGAGUUGGCGUGGGCUUUUGGGGGAAGAAAGGAGAAGAGUGGAGGGUGGCGAGGAAAUGAGAGGAUGGUUCCAAAUCACAGCACAACAGGACUAUGGCGUGGGCAAUGGCAGUGAAUCAGCAGACAGCAGCACAAGAUAAGGCUUUGGCAAUGGCAGUGCAUCAGCAGACAGCAGCACAGGAUUGGGAGUUAUAAGGGUUAGGGUUUGCCUUCUAGAUCAGGAUCUUUUUUUUUUUUUUAGAAAAAAGGAAUCAUCCUUUUUUUUAAUGUGAUGGUGCUCUGUGGAUUAAAUUAACCCAGAACUGACAAGUGGGGCAAUCUCAUUUGGUCUAAUACGCGGCCGGUGGAACAAGCAAGCUGAAUCCUCCCUGGUUUUUUCUCUCUCUUUUUGUUUUUGGUGGGGUGGGGGUGGUUGAUUGUUUCAUGUUAACAGGUUUGGGUAUACAUAUAUACAGGAUGGGCAAUUCAAAAGCAAGGAUCAUUUGUUGGGAAGGUCAUUAGUAAGGAACUUGUUAACGAAGCAGCUAAAUGGGCAGAUCCUGCAGAGUCUUCAAGGCUGUGACUUUGUUUUGGUUUUACCUAUUUUGUUUUAUUUAUUGAUUAUUGUGAGCUUGUUACUUGUUGAUGGAGAGGUAAGGACUGUUAGUUGAUUUCCAUGUUCAUGGUCACUCUUCAAAUGCCAAGAUUUGCUUAAGUUUUGCUCCUCAUUGGUCGUUCUUAACCGUAACUUUGAUCUUGCCUCUGUUGGAUGCAGGAGUCUGAAGGUGGAAGCUGGCAUAUACCGACAGUUUUAGGUGAUGAUAUUGAAACACCUCGGCAGUGGGUUUGUGCAACCAGACAUGCUAACACAGUUUCCUCUCUAUCCCAUGCAUGGUUAGGCCAGAUGAGGUCGUAGCAUCUAUAAUUAGCUCGAGGUGAGCGCACAUUUUUGAUUCGAUCCAUUCACACCUUCUCCAUCGAUCCCUUAAUGAAAGGGUAUUUAUUCAUCUUCUGUAAUAUUUAUUGUGUGUAUUGUUAUAUUUAUUGAGUGGUAAAUUCUAUAUGUUUAAAACUGCCAUUGACUCCGAAAAUAAUAAUACAUACAGAACUAGAUUAAUUAGCUGCCAUCUAAAUUGAAUUGGUCUGCCCCCCCUUGGUUUUAUUUCUCUAGGCUUAGACAUAUCAAGACUCUACAAUGUAGUUAGGUUGGUAUUCUGGCUUUUCUACUAAUUAUUACAUCAGAUUCACCUAGAAAUAGGUGUGGUCUCACGCGCAGUGAGAGGCCUGUGGUACAUCUUAAACAGGUUAUGCAAUGCCUAUGUAGAUCCUGCUUGAAUGUUUUGAGGUAACAAUGCAAGCACAUCAACUCUAUUUUCUUUGUGAAUAUCAGAGUUAGGAUGAACCAUUGAUCAAGUCCUGAAAUGCAGUGUCCUCAUCUGUUGCUUGCUCCUUGCAACUCCAAUGCUGAUUUAAAAACUGUGUAACAAGAAAAACUUUCGAAGUCUUUCUGCUGAUCAGACUAAGAAUGAAGAGAAGAUUAGAAAGCGAGUUGAACCAGUUUGGUCGUCUUGCAGAAAGUCUGUGGCAUGUUAUUUGCUGAACCAUUUGACGGUAAAAUCUUUGCGGCAGUUUAACUACAAUCAAAUAUUUUUAGGAGGAUUUGAUGGUUAAAGGAUGCAUAAGAGGCAAGUUGAGCGAGGAGGUGGGAGUCAUGACGUUUCCUAUACAUAUCAUAUCAUCAUUUUUUUUAAUGAAAGAAAAACAAAGGCUAUACAGCAAUUCUCACAAGUUGAAAAGAUUUGGCAGCAUUUCCCUUUUUUUUUUUCUAGCUUUCAAGCUAUUCCUCAUGCUUUUCCGCAAAGUGAAUUGCAGCUUGGGGGGCUGGGGGAGGGAGGUGGUCUCGGGGGAAGGCUGGCCUUGGUGGAGGGAAAGGAUAGGAGGAGGUGGAUGAGGUGGCAGGAUGGGGAGGAGGAGGGCGUUGGGUGACAAAGGAUAUACAGUUUAUAUUGAUACACACGUAGAGAACAUAAUGUCUGCGUUGAUACACACAUGCAGACUGAUAUGCUCGCUGAUAUGCACCUUUUAAUAGGUGGUAGUACAUAUGUAACAUAUGCGGAUAAUUCGAGUCUUUUUUGUAAAUACAUAAUUUACUUAUCAGAGACUAGGUAUGUGAAUCUAAUGGACAUUUAUUUAGUAUCUGAUACGUGUAAUAUGCUACUUGAUAUGCACUUAUAUUUUUGGCCACACUGUCAUUCUCAAUGCACACUUACUCUUUACUUAAACACAUGCAUAACUUUUCUUGAUACAUAGUUAUCUUUACUCUCUGAUCCUCCGGCGCACACUUUUAACUAAUAUGGCUUGCUCACGUAGUUACAAAUAUAUGUUCCUGAUACAUAACAAUCAUACAUGGAUAUUUACCUUUCAUCAUCGAUAUACUGCCUUGUCUAAUUCCUAAGUAGCAUCUAGGUUUAGUUCCUCUGCUAAGGCCAUGGAUGAUGCACCAAUAAAGGGGAAUCCCAAAAAAUCCUCCUCAAGACUGGAUCACUAACUUCUGCAUUCUAGGUAUAGUUAGUCUGUCAAGGCUAAGAAUGUGCACCAACAAGAACAAGUGAAUACGGAAAACUAAAUGUAUUGAACAACAAAUAUUUACUUUUUGUCUAUCGGAUAUGAAGAUCCAUCCAUAUUCCUCCAUGGGCCCAAUACCUCCUAACACACAUGUAAGAAACUAGCUCCAGUUGUUCUUCGUCUCUGCCUUGAUUAUAGCCCAUGAAAUGAGAAACAUAUUAUCAUGACCAUCUUACCUUACUGCAGCUAGUAGCUGCCCCUCAAAGGAUCCGUUUAAGAGGCAUCCAUUGAGUCAAAUAAUGGAUCUGCAGUCUCUUACAAACCCAUGCUUACAUGCUGUAAGAUAGUAGUGCAACCUUCUAAAAAUAGGUUGGCUGGCCUCCUUUAGCCUCCUGACAUCCCACAACAUUGUGCUCUCAAAAUUACUUUUCUUGAUUAUCUUGCAGUACUCCCAUAAGCGGGCGUACUGUUCUUUAUGGCUCCCCUGAAUGAUCUCCAGUGCUCAUAUCUUAGCUCUAUUGCACUAGGUCCUAGAAACAGGAACUUUGACAUCUCUCCUCACUUGUUUUCUGAAUCUUUUGAUACUCCACUUUGCAUCAAAUUUAAUCUUCUCAACGUACCUCUCGGCAAGAAACUUAGAUGUCAUAUUAUGAUUUUCAAAUUAUCUUCUACACUUGUGCACUGACUAGAAGGUCUUGAUCCGAUAGGUCUCCCUUCUUUGUAUCGUUAAAGCUGUAUCCUCUACCCAUGGCUUUUCUUGCAUACAGUCGUGAUCUAGCUUCUCUAAUUCUUCUUGUACACAAGAUCAAAUGCCUUCCGAAUCGAAUAAAGCCGUAGCGCCUUCUUAAACAUACGGGGCUACUGAACCUCAUCCCAACCGCAAGCUUUAUUGUCUAUUUAAUAUCUGAAGUUUUUUUGAAUUUGGGAUAAUCUAAAUCCUGAAUCACAUUAUUAGAAUCACUGCCACCAGCCAAACUACGAAGCUGAAAGCUAUCACUACUUUUCGAUUCUCUCCCUAUAGAUUGCUCAUCUCCAAGAAAAUCUCCAUUUACAUUGAGCCUAGAAUGCACAGUCUACACUCUCAUCUCCUCCUCUAUAAAAUCUUUAUUAAUAUACUCAUCAAGUAAAUCUCAUGCUCAUGGUCUGACUCCCUUAGCUCACUAAGAGAUGCAUAGGCUCGAUAGUGUCACUGCUAUCUAUAGGCUCGAUAGCGAUAACAUCUCCUCUUUUCCUCAUAUGUGACUGCAACUCCCUUCCCCUUAUCAUCAACAACCUUUCCCUUUCGAACUGCAACUGAUUUUCUUCCACCAACCAUUUUGAUUGCUACUCUCUUAAUCCUAAUCUUAAACUUGGAUGCAGCUGCUUUCUUGAUAGUGGUUGUAGAACCUACUAACUUAGCCUCAUUGCCCCCUUGAAGAGGCAUCUCUCCAACAGCUUCCUCCAUGGCAUCAGUAGCUUCAUCCAUUUUGUGUUCCACAAACACUUCAACAACAUCCUCUCGUAGACUCCAAUAUUUCUAAAAUAUCUACGUCACACCUAAGUUUUCUCAAGCCAGUGUAGUAGAAAUAACUAGCCCCGCAUAUCUUCAAGCUCCGUGAUACUGAACCUUUCUAGGCCACAAUUAUCGAAGUAGCUAAUGAUAGUGAGGGAGAUACUUGACAGAUCCAUCGUAGUAGAUUUGCACAGUGAAUCAUUGUCCAUCCUUGGAAGAACAAACAAGUGAAAUACAUGAACAUAACAUGAACUUAUGUGAACUUACAUGAAAAUGGAUAGCUGACAUGAAACAAAAAUACAUGAACUCAAGAUGAAAUAGAUAACUACAUGAACAUCGACAACUACAUGGAAUAAUACAUUGCAACUUAUAUGAAAUUAGUGAUAGGUGCAACCAUAACACAAAAUGAACUAUGGUUCCAUUGCAAGAGAUAGUUUUAAGUGCAUCGCACUCCGUUAAAAAUUAUUGCAUGCUUGCCUUGACUCAUGUCUCAGAGGUUAAAAAACUCAAAUAGAGUGCUCAAAUCAACUGGCUUUCUAUCGGACAGUUUAGCAAUGGUCAAGGCUUUUUUAUGCUUCCACUAUGCAUUCAAAAAGCCACCACAUAAGUUAAAAAGGGUUUUUUUAUACUUCUAUUAUAGCAUAGUUAGGCUAAAAAAGCAAUGUACACACAACACAAAAGGGACCACAACACAUGGGCAUAGAAUCAAAAAAAUCCCUUAUUAAGGGACCGUUGGACAUCAAUCAUUGGAUCAUAGGUAAGAGGGACCACAAUACAACACAUAGCAGUGAACAUUACAUGUAUAUAAACAACAUUAAAUCACGAUAUCUAUAAAACAAUCGACCAUAUGCACAAACACAUAUUGUGCACGAACAAACCAAAUUCAGCUUCCAAAUCUAGGGUUUUGAUGGCUAAAUUAAAGCUAGCAUCUAAAUAAAUACAACAUAUAAUGUGCACUAAAUCAAAAUUUUUCAAGAAAACAUUUCGAGAAAAUGCAUUACCAGCCGAAGAAGAGGUGAAACUCUCUUCACGGCUCGACAGAGAGUUCUUGGGCUCUUCGGAUGUCUGCUAUGGUGGUGCGCGAGGAAGGAGGGAUGGCUAGACUCGAGCGGAGGGUGGGAUUGUCGGUGCUUGUCGGAAAAUCGUCGGAGAAUGGAGGAUGGGAGUAGGGGAUUCAAACAGAAUAACCUUCGGAAUUAGGAGGGGGGUGGUCAAAACCUAUUUCAAAUCAUCUAAAUGAGGGAGGGGCAUUUUCGACAAUUUAAACGGCAAACCCGGAUUCGGCUAUAUUCGGCUAUAUUCUGGCUUGGUAUCCGCAGAGCACCUUUGGUUCAGGAUUGAUCUUAACUUUGAUGAUUGAUAACCAUGAAUUAUAUCUAUUGAACAUCAAAUCAUAGAAAAUUUGAAUUAUGGAUUAAAAUGGAUUGAUACAUACUUCCCCAUAUUUUUAUGGCCCUCCUUCAGUGCCAUCUUUUAUAACACGUUUAACAGAUUCGCUUCUAGACAGCCUCCUAAUUCUUGUGACCUUACUAGUCAAAGUCUGUUGCUAGCUGUACUCUGUAUCCCUCCUAGAUUUCCAAAUAUUUGGCAUGUGCAUUAGAUAGGAACUCAUUCAGGACUCCGUCAAAUGACAUUUGCGGGUAGAUCCCCGGCCACCUCCAUGCCGUGUGGGUUUGGGUUGCAUCUUUCGCGUGUGAAAGAAUUAUUGAUGUUCUUUCGCAAGUUGGAUCAUAAAUGGCACAGAUCUCUUUCAUUCACCCACCUCUACAGACCUCGAAGCGGCCCUUGUGCGAUUCAACGGUUGACAUCGUGAAAUUCAGUGAAUCGUUCUUACGCGUAAAAGAUACAACCCAAACCCAUGGGGCCCAACCAAAUGACUAUGCCAACCUAGAUCCUAGAUCCAAAAAAAUCAUAUUUGGCAUCCGUCAUCGGACAUCUAUUAUGAUAAUAUGGCCAUGGUAGAUGGUUAUGGUUAUAGUCAACAGCCAUUUGAUUAAAAAAAAAAAUUUGUGUCCAACUAUGAAAUAAGUGAACGAGGGGAUUCAGUAGCUGGGGAAGGUUGGAUAACGUCAUGGGUAUCGGCAUGCUCGCGAUACAUAACCAUGCAUUCUAUUUAUGAGCACAACGAGAGGGCAAUCAAGACAUGCCAAGGUCAAUAUUCGAAUAAAAACGUGGAUAAAUGAUGUCUAUAUAAUAGGAAGCAAGUUGGUCUUUGGACCCUAUUCCUCUUUAGCUCCGCUCUAAAGAAAACAGCUAAAAAAGAGGAGGCAUCGAGGCAAAAUAUGGCUCCCAAGCAGAAGGGAGAACCGCCGAAAAGAGGGUGCAUCAAACGCCGGAUACUCACUUCUCUCUGUGGAAGGUUGAGGCGGAUGUUUACUUCCAUCUGGAACUACUUCCGUUAGUCCUUUCCCUAUGAGUGAAUAAAAUUUCAUAUGGAGUCUUGAGAUGUUUUAUCUUUAUAGAAUGGUUUUCUAUGUGGUGUUUCUUACCUUACUCUAUUCUUGUCGGAGUGUGAUGGCUUGUGCUCCUUUUUUUUUGAUCGAAUGGUUGCCAAAUAAGUUUCUCGUUCCUCUCCCUUUUUUUAAACCAGUGACUUGUACUCGGAGCUGCAAGCAACACAACAUUGUAUAUUUGUAUAGACCUGGGUGACAACUUCCUAUUACUUUAAAGAUCCACUAGUAUCAAUAAUUUUUUUAAAUUUUUUCAUAAUUGAUCGGAAGGAUCACCAAAUUCUAUAUGAACUACUUUUGCCGCUAUAAGUAGAACUGGAUAGGGUCCAAGAGUGAGAUCCACUAUAUCGAGAAGCCGAAUCGUGCAUCAAACCUCUGGAGACCAUAACUUGGUCAUUCAACAUUUAAUUGCAAUUUUUUUUAAAAAUAUUGGAUAGCUUUUCGAGAUCUAAGUUGUGGUGUUAUUCCUUCAAGGGGGCCAUGCCCCUAGCGAUUAGAUACAAAUUUCAUUAUUUGGGUUUCAAAACAAACCGGUCAAACUAAACUUUUUUUUUGCGAAAAUUUUUUUGACUAGACAUAUCUCUCAAUCCGAGAAAAAUCAAUCAGAGCGACAGAAAGCAAAAUAGAUGUAAAAAUUGAGAUCUAUCUUCUGUAAAAUUUUAGUUUUUUCACAUUUAUUUCUACUAGCUAUAUUUAUAUUAGGAAAGUGAGUUUUGUUAUAACUAGAAAAGGAACCCGAUCUGGAUUGUGCAAGGACGGACCUCACUUUUAUAAAUAUGACUAUAUAUCUAAGUUUAUAAUCAAUAAAAGAAAAAAUAGAUUUAAAAUUCUACUUUCGUCAUUUUUUUAUUUUUAAAAUAUUUUUUGAAAGAUACAAAUUGAGCAAAUCGAGAAAAAUCUUUCGCUUCUCCGGUAAGAUCAUACACUAGACUUAGUUAAGUAGGUCACAGCCACGUUCCGUGGCAUCUGCUAUUUCAAGGCCAAGAUAUUAUAGCCGACAAACUGACGUAGAGGGAGUGCAAAGGCCGUGGCCACGUUAACACGACCAUUAGUUUUAGCUGUUUGUUAUAUUACACAUGUCUAAUGUGAUCCAAAAGCUUCACGACUGCAGUCAUGCACGCUCCCCAUGGUUAUUGAUGUUUUUUUUAAGGAUCCCUUCUAUGGUACUUUUGUCAGCCCGGAAAAAACCGGGCCCAUGCUCAUGUUUUAGAGCCACAGAUCGGGCUUAGGCUUGGAAACUGAGGUCCAAAGAAUUUCCGGGCCGGGCUUGGACAAGGACUCUUGUAGAAGAUACAUAGUGCCCGUUUUGAGCCCAGCCUGGUCCAAAAUGCACUUGAGUCAGGUUGGGCUCGGUUUUUUAUGCUUUCCGGAGGAAGUUACCGUCUUAUUAGACAAAGUAUAACAGAUAUAAUAAACGAACGGAUAAACGAUAAGGCAGAAAAGCCACCGGAUUCAUUUCAUAGAUGAGGUGAAUUAAGGCAGCUAGGCAGCUUCCAGUCCUCUAUAUAUCACAACCUAAUGGAAGUAAUUUUUGGCCGCACUGGGCAGUAUUAUUUUCAACAAUCAAAGUAUACAUAUAAAAAGAGCAGUAGGUCUUAUAUAUGUAACAUAUUAAUCCAUUCACUAAUAAAAUGAAAUUUUGAUCCCCCCCGACCCGAUAAUGAUAGUGCGAUGCUCUAUGUGCUCGCCAAGGUGAUGGAGGCCUUAGGUUUUGUUUAGAUUUGCUGUUGGUAAUAGAGCUUUUGAACAAUAAAACUUCUCUUAGUAGAGCUUUUACAAAAAGUUGUUUGAGGUAACUAUAUUUUAAAAAUGCUGCGAUGAUUUAGCAUAUAUUUGGCAACCAAAUUGAGAAAUUACUUUCCAUAUGAUAAAAUGAUUAUUAAGAAUAUUGCAUCAUACUAGAGCAUCUAUUGGUAACCAUGGCCUACUUUAGCUAUUGUUAAAUUGAAAAAAAGGAAAAAAUUCAACAACACUUUCUACUGCAUUGCUUCUGUUAGGAUAUAAGACUAGAGCAUUGUGGCGUACAAUUUGGUAUUUAUGACUAUGAGUAUCGGUGAAAUGAACUUCCUCCUAAGAAAAUUUGGUUAAGUUUAUAAUUUGCAAGGCCACAAAAAAGUUGGGGAUCUAUCCUUCUACAACACUAUUCCAAUUUUCAAAUAUUAUGUUGAUUCUCAUGAAUGUAUUUGUAUAAUAUUUCUAUAAUACAUUGGAUACACUAUAUAUAUAUAUAUAUAUAUAUAUAUAUAUAUAUAUANNNNNNNNNNNNNNNNNNNNNNNNNNNNNNNNNNNNNNNNNNNNNNNNNNNNNNNNNNNNNNNNNNNNNNNNNNNNNNNNNNNNNNNNNNNNNNNNNNNNNNNNNNNNAUGGUCGUCUUGCUAAAAGUCUGUAGCACGCUAGUUGCUGAAGCAUUUUGUAAUUAUUACCACCCCCAACACCCCCCCCCCCUCUAAAAAAAAGGAAAAAGGAGCUCGUGGGCCGACCCCUGAUUUUGUUUGGGCUUGUGGGCCGGCCUGGGGUGGCCAGGCCCAAACUUGACUCGCGCUUGGCAUGCGGUCGAUCGGGGAAGAAGACCCCGGCUGGGGUCUUCUUUCUUCCCAAUUUCGGUAGAAAGGAGGACUCUCCGAGGGCAAUCCGAGUUCGAAUCGAACUCGAAAAUCUUGCCUAUAUAUCUCUCCUUCUCCUCCUCUGAUUUCCAUCACCAAAAUCGUUGGGAAACGCCACCGAUUCCAAGUAUGCCUCACCGAGUCUUCUCCUCAAAUCCUUGCUAGAAACGUCGCCAGAUCGUCGCCGGAUUGAGCUAAUACUCGAGCCACCCUCCUCUCUCUCUUCCUUCUCGUCAUCUAGCCAGCGAUUUUUCUUUGAAUGAGUCGGCAAAUCACCGAAAUCCAUCUGAAACAGGGGUGCCUUGUUUCGGCUUCUUCUUUCGAGACCUGCCACCGCCGGCCACUAGUUUUGGCCGAGCUUUGCGACCUCCCAAGAGCCUUGAGUUUGUGUGGCCGUCGGUCAGAGAGAUCGGCCAUGAUCAGGCCGAGUCUGAUUGGUACUUUGAUAGUCCUCUUCCUCUUUUCUUCCAUUCUUCUCGCCAGCCGACCACUAUCGCCGGAGCUUGACCACCUUGGACUCUCCUAUCUGAGGAAGAGAUCCGAGGAAGAGAGAGAGAGAGAGAACGACUCUCCUCUAUUUUGGAAGAAGAAGAGGGCCCUCUCCUCUUCUUUCUCUCUCCUCUCUCCUCUCCCCUCUCCCCUCUCCCCUCUCCCUCUCCUCUCCCCUCUCCCCUCUCCCCUCUCCUCUCCCCUCUCCCUCUCCUCUCUUGGUUUCUCUUCCUUGUGUUUCUCUCUCUACAGAAUUUUUUCUCUCUACGAGUGUGAGGACCUGUGCAGGCGUGUGUUUAAUCCCAUAUCAGUUAUUCGCUGGGUAGAUUUUGGAUACUUAUACAGGAUCAAGGAAUCUAAAAUAUACCUUCCGGCUAGUUAUUUUGGGGGAGGUUGUAAAUUGUUGCAAAUGGUAUUAGAGCCUAUGUGGACUAGGGGACACUGCAGCUCAGAUUUAUUAAGGUUGAUCAUGAGCUGAUCGUGGUGUUUGUGAUUAGAUUUGAAUGGAUUUGGAUCCUUAGCCUGACGAGGAUGUCAGGGUUUGAACGGGGGAAGUAUGUGAGGAUCCAUGCAGACGUAUGUUUAGUCCCACAUCGGUCAUUCACUGGGUAGAUCUUGGGUACUUAUAUAGGAUCAAGGAACCCAAAAUAUACCUUCCGGCUAGUCAUUUUGGGUGAGGUUCUGGGUUGUUACAAUGAUAUUGUCUCUCUCUACAGGACUUUCUCUCUCUACUUGACUCGUAGACCAGAUACAUUGAUUUAUGCCUCUAUGAGGGAUCGAAUCUGGACCUCUGAUUAAACUCGGGCUGAGAUUCUCUCUCUUCUUCCUAAUUCAAUUCGGAUUGAGGUUCUCUUCCUCUUUCUCUCUCUAGAAAGCAGAGGGAUCCUAGUUAAGCUUUGCUCUUUGUUGCUCGGAUCAAAGUUAACCAAGGCCCUAAACCGCCCCGGUACACGAGCGGUAGUUCGACCCAUUACUUCAACCCCAAUUAGAUCUUUUGAAAUACGACCACUUUUGAUAUUUACCUGAUCCGUUGAAUUCUCCUUGCUCGGACUAACCCGAGCAGUCGGGCAAUAUCACCUGAUCGACCUGAUUUGGGGGUAUGAGGUCGUUCUCCAGUGAUGUUUAAUUUUGACUUCGUUUGACUUCUGGAAUGAUGAUGAAAUUUAUGAUGUUUUAACAGGUGCACUUGUCUCGUCAAACUGAAGUAAGAUUUUGCAAUGAUAAGAGGUAAGUAACUUAAUACUUCAAAGUGUAUUUUCUAAAUUAUUUGGUAAAAUAAUUAUUAGUUGAUUAAAUUAUGAGAUAUGUUUUGUAUUUAGUAAAAUGGGUCAAACAUGUUAAAUAUCAUUUGAAAAUUUUGCUAUAUGUUAUGAAAUUUGUAAAAUAUGAAUGGGUAACUUAUGAAAUCUGUUUUUAUAUAUAUGUAUUCUCAGCAUGGCUAUGAUCUGUUCUGGCCUCACCAGUGGAGAUUAUUCGUUGGCCCUGUCGACUUAUAUUUGUGAGAAACUAGUUUCCACACCGUUACCACCGGUGAUUAGAAUAGUAAGUUUUGGACACCGUUGCCACUAGUGAUAGAAUAAUGGUUUUUGGACACCGUUACAACUGGUGAUUAGAAUAGUGGUUUUUGGACACCGUUGCUACCGGUGAUUAGAAUAGUGAUUUUUGAACACCGUUGCCGAUGGUGAUUAACAAUAGUGGUUUUUGGCACUUUGUGCGACUCAUACCACUGGGUUACGUGGCCGUAGCCUAUUGAUGCUGGGAUUCUGGUAUCAGAGUUUUUGCAAAAAUGAUAAUAAGUUUCGAAAAGAAAAAUAUGCUUAUUUGUGAUUUAAUUGUCAAUCAUUAUUUUGUAUUUUGAUUAAAUAUCUAGUAUGCUUUGACUCCACUCUGGGAUAUUAUGUUGCUUACUGGCCCAAUAUAGCUUAUUAUUAUGUUUCUCUGUUUUUCAGAUUCGGAAGCAUGAUUGCUUGAGAUUUGGAGAGUGCGCUAGUUCUUUUGAAGAUACUUUUAGUCAGUUUAGUUAGAACAUUUUAUUUGAGUCAUGAUUAGUUGUAAGCAUAUAUUAACUUAUGUCAUUUUGGAACUAUUAUAAGAACUAUUUUGAUAAGCUUUGAUUAAUAAAAUUUUUAAGAAUUAUUAUCACUUUGCUAUGAUCUGUAGCCUUGCAUGCUUGUAUGGUCCGCCGUGCGGACGUGUGGCGUCUGUCGCGCUGCAGGCUCGGGGCGUGGCACAUUUGACGGUAAAAUCUUUGUGGCAGUUUAACUACUAUCAAAUAUUUUUAGGAGGAUUUGAUGGGAAGUUGAGUGAGGAGGUGGGGGUCAUGACGUUUGGUAUACAUAUCAUCAUCAUCAUUUUUUUUUAAUGAAAGAAAAACAAAGGCUACACAGCAAUUCUCCAAGUUGAAAAGAUUUGGCAGCAUUUCCCUAUUUUUUUCAGCUUUCACACUAUUCCUUAUGUUUUUCCUCAAAGUGAAUUGCAGCUUCGGGGGCCAGGGGAGGGAGGCUCUCUUGGGGGAAGGCUGGCCUUGGUGGAGGGAAAGGAAAAAAAAGGAGGUGGAUGAGGUGGCAGGAUGGGGAGGAUAUUGGGGCCGACGAAGAGGAUGGCAAUGUCGAUGAAAGGAUAGACAUACAGUCUAUAUUGACUUAUAUGAAAAUGGAUAGCUUACAUGAAACGAAAAUACAUGAACUCAAGAUGAAAUAGAUCACUACAUGAAUGAUAUACAUUGCAACUUAUAUGAAAUUAGUGAUAGGUGCAACCAUAACACAAAAUGAACUAUGGCUCUAUUGCAAGAGAUAGUUUUAAGUGCCUUGCACUCCGUUAAAAAUUAUUGCAUGCAUGCUUUGACUCAUGUUUCAGAGGUUAAAAAACUCAAAUAGAGUGCUCAAAUCAACUGGCUUUUUGUCCGCCAGUUUAGCAAUGGUCAAGACUUUUUUAUGCUUCCACUAUGCAUUCAAAAAGCUACUACAUCAGUUAAAAAGGGUUUUUUAUACUUUCACUAUAGCAUAGCUAGGCUACAAAGGUAAUGCACACACAACAUAGAAGGGACCACAACACAUGGGCACAAAAUCAAAAAAAAUCCCUUAUUAAGGGACCGCUGGACAUCAAUCAUUGGAUCAUAGGUAAGAGGGACCACAACACAACACAUAGCACUGAACAUUACAUAUACAUAAACAACAUUAAUCCAUGAUACCUAUAAAACAAUCAACCACAUGCACAAACACAUAUUGUGCAUGAACAAACCAAAAUUCAGCUUCCAAAUCUAUGGUUUUGAUGGCUAAAUUGAAGUCGGCCUCUAAACAAAUACCACAACGUAUAUUGUGCACUAAAUCAAAAUUUUUCAAGGAAACAUUUCGAGAAAAAGCAUUACCAGCCAAAGAAGAGGUGAAGCUCUCUUCACUGUUUGACAGAGAGUUCACGGUCUCUUUGGAUGCCUGCUAUGGUGGUGCGUAAGGAGGGAGGGAUGGCCAGACUCGAGCUGAGGGUGGGAUUGUCGGUGCUUGCCGGAAAAUCGUCGGAGAGUGGAGGACGGGAGUAGGGGAUUCAAACGGAAUAACCUUCGAAAUUAGGAGGGGGGUAGUCGAAACCUAUUUCAAAUCAUCUAAAUGAGGGAGGGGCAUUUUCGUCAAUUUAAAUGGCAAGCUAAUGUUGUCGGCUUGUCUGGGAGCUGUAGGACCACUUUGAAAUAUUUCAAAAAUUUGAAGAGUUAGUUUGGCACUUUUAAAGUAUAGGGGGUGUAAGUGAGAUUGGCCUACAGUUAAAGGGGUGUUCCUGUAAUUUUCUCAAUAUAUUUAUUUUGUAUCCUUAAGUGCUACUUCAAAUCUCUUGUGAAGUGUGGAUUGGUUCAGAUUGGAAUGGGCGGUAUGUUUUGCAUGGAAGGAGGAUUCACCUUCCUUUGUGCAAAUCCACCAUUGGAUCACAUACUUGUUACUCUGAGAUCUAUGCAGGAACUUGUUCGAAGUGUUUUGAGAUCUGUGCGGUGGGUGGUCCAAUGGUGGGAUCAUGUGGAAGUUAGCUCAGAAGAUAUAACAGACAUGGACUUUGAAAUUAGAUUAAAAAUAGAAAGGAGAGAAAAGGCCACGAGGGUUGACGCUAGAUUGGGUUGCAUGCUGGUCGAAACAUAAACCCGAACUCGGGCUAGAUUCUGGCUGGGAUCUGCGGAGCACCUUUGGUUCAGGAUUGAUCUUAACUUUGAUGAUUGAUAACCAUGAAUUAUAUCUGCUGAACAUCAAAUCAUAGAAAAUUUGAAUUAUGGAUUGAAAUGGAUUGAUACAAACUUCCCCAUAUUUUCAUGGCCCUCCUUCAGUGCCAUCUUUUACAACACGUUUAGCAGAUUCGCUUCUAGACAGCCUCCUAAUUCUUGUGACCUUACUAGUCAAAGUCUGUUGCUAUCCCAACCUGUACUCUGUAUCCAUCCUAGAUUUCCAAAUAUUUGGCAUGUGCAUUAAUAGGAACUCAUUCAAGACUCCGUCCAAUGACAUUUGCUAUUAGUUCCCCGAUCACCAGGCCACCUCCGUGUCGUGUGGGUCCGGGUUGCAUCUUUCGCCUGAAAGAAUGUUUGAUGUUUUUUCGCAAGUUGGAUCACGAAUGGCAGAGAUCUCUUUCAUCCAUCUACCUUCAUAGAUCUCGAAGCGGCUCUUGUGCGAUUCAACGGUUGACAUCGUAAAAUUCAGUGAAUCAUUGUCCUAGCAAAAAAAUUCAGUGAAUUGUUCUUACGCAUAAAAGAUAUAACCCAAACUCAUGGGGCCCAAGCGAAUGACUAUGCCAACCUAGAUCCAAAAAAUCAAGACAUGCCAAGGUCAACAUUCGAAUAAAAACGUGGAUAAAUGAUCUCUAUAAAAUAGGAAGCAAGGUGGUCUUUGGACCCUAUGCCUCUUUAGCUCCGCUCUAAAGAAACAACUAAAAAAGAGGAGGCAUCGAGGCAAAAUAUGGCUCCCAAGCAGAAGGGAGAACCGCCGAAAAGAGGGCGCAUCAAACGCCGGAUAUUCACUCCUUUCUGUGGAAGGUUGAGGCGGAUGUUUACUUCCAUCUGGAACUACUUCCGUUAGUCCUUUCCCUAUGAGUGAAUAAAAUUUCAUAUGGAGUCUUGAGAUGUUUCAUCUUUAUAGAAUGGUUUUCUAUGUGGUGUUUCUUACCUUACUCCAUUCUUGUUGGAGUGUAAUGGCUUGUACUCCUUUUUUUGAUCGAAUGGUUGCCAAAUAAGUUUCUCAUUCCUCUCCUUUUUUUUUUUUUUUACCAGUGACUUGACAACUUCCUAUUACUUUAAAGAUCCACUAGUUCCAAUAAUUUUUUUAAAAUUUUUCGUAAUUGAUCCAAGGGAUCACCAAAUUCUAUAUGGACUACUUUUGCUACUAUAAGUAGGGUUGAAUAGGAUCCAGGAGCGAGAUCUACUAUAUCGAGAAGCCGAAUCAUACACCAAACCUCUGGAGACCAUAGCUUGGCCAUUCAACGUCUAAUUGAGAUUUUUUUUAAAAAAUCAGAUAGCUUUUCGAGAUUUAAGUCGUGGUGUUGUUUCUUAAAGGAGGCCAUGCCCGUAGCGAUCAGAUACAAAUUCCAUUAUUUGCGCUCCAAAAUAAAUUGAUCAAACUAAUUUUUUUUCACAAAUUUUUUUGACCAGACAUACCUUUCAAUUCGAGAAGAAUCAGACAAAGCGACAGAAAUCAUAGUUGAUGUAGAAGUUGAGAUAUACCUUAUAUAGAAUUUUAAUUUUUUUUGUAUUUACUUCUACUAGCUAUGUCUAUAUUAGGAAAGUGAGUCUUGUUAGAACUAAAAAAUGAACCCAACCUAAAAUAUGUAAGGGCGAACCUCAUUUUUAUAAAUAUGACCAUAUAUUUCAGUUUAUAAUCAAUAAAAGAAAAAAAAUAAAAUCAUAGUUUCAUUAUUUUCUUUGUUUUUUCAAAUAUUUUUUUACAAGAUUCGAACAGAUUAAGAAAAAUUUUUUUCUUCCCCUUAGACUUAGUUUAGCAGCCAAGAUAUUAUAGCCGACAAACUGACGUAGAGGGAGUGCAAAGGUCGUGGCCACGUUAACACGACCAUUAGUUUUAGCUGUUUGUUAUAUUACACAUGUCUAAUGUGAUCCAAAAGCUUCACGACUGCAGUCAUGCACGCUCCCCAUGGUUUUUGAUGUUUUUUUUAAGGAUCCCUUCUAUGGUACUUUUGUCAGCCCGGAAAAAACCGGGCCCAUGCUCAUGUUUUAGAGCCACAGAUCGGGCUUAGGCUUGGAAACUGAGGUCCAAAGAAUUUCCGGGCCGGGCUUGGACAAGGACUCUUGUAGAAGAUACAUAGUGCCCGUUUUGAGCCCAGCCUGGUCCAAAAUGCACUUGAGUCAGGUUGGGCUCGGUUUUUUAUGCUUUCCGGAGGAAGUUACCGUCUUAUUAGACAAAGUAUAACAGAUAUAAUAAACGAACGGAUAAACGAUAAGGCAGAAAAGCCACCGGAUUCAUUUCAUAGAUGAGGUGAAUUAAGGCAGCUAGGCAGCUUCCAGUCCUCUAUAUAUCACAACCUAAUGGAAGUAAUUUUUGGCCGCACUGGGCAGUAUUAUUUUCAACAAUCAAAUUAUAGAUAUAAAAAGAGCAGUAGGUCUUAUAUAUGUAACAUAUUAAUCCAUUCACUAAUAAAAUCUCCCCCACCCACCCCAUAAUGAUAGUGCUUUGCUCAGGUUUUGUUUGGAAUUGCUGUUGGUAAAAAAGCUUUUGAACACUAAAGCUUCUCGUAGUAGAGCUUUUACAAAAAAUAGUUUACUAUUUGAUAACUAUAUUUUAAAAACAUUGCGAUGUUUUAGCAUAUAUUCGGCAACCAAAUUAAGAAAUUACUUUCAAUAUGAUAAAAUGAUUAUUAAGAAUAUUGCAUCGUACUAGAGCAUUUGUUGGUAACCAUGGCCUACUUUAGCUAUUGUUAAAUUGAACAAAAAGGAAAAAAACCAACAACACUUUCUAUUGCUUUGCUUCUGUUAGGAUAUAAGACUUGAGCAUUGCAGUGUACAAUUUGGUAUUUAUGAAUAUGAGUAUCGGUGAAAUGAACUUCCUUUUAGGAAAAAAUUGGUUAAGCUUAUAAUUUGCAAGGCCACGAAAAUGAUCGGAGAAAAUGGCCUAAUUAUAUGUGUAUAUGGAAUUUCAUGUAUUCCGAGGAUCGGCAGACAACCAUAGCCAUCUGCUACACCUACAUCCAAUUUAUGUAGGGCUUAUGAUUUGAGUCAAAUUAACCUUUACUUGAUGUUGCUCAACCACAACAUUAGGUGUAUAUGAUUUGAGUAUAGGUCUAAAUUCUAAGGCUAAAGAUCGCUUUAUGUUUGCUGCACCCUGAAGCGCCCUCACAAAGGAGCUAGCGAGACUAUAUUUUUUCCCUUUUUCUGAGGGAAAGAAAAAAAAAGGAUCAGUGAAUAUUUCAGAUCCAAUAUUUUUUAUGGGUUCUAGCUAGUGCUAGCAAAUGAUUCAAAAUGCUCCAAGAGGACUAGUGUACAAUUUGGUUUAAGGUUCAACAAGCUGAAAACAAAUUGAGACUUUAUCAUGAAUUUUACUUUUGAAAUUAGUUCAAAGCUGAGCUUGAACAAAUUUCAACUAGAUAUAGCACUAAAAUUCGUCGUCUCGGUGCCGGACCUCAUACCGAUACCAUACUAGGACAGUAUAUAUUCAUACCGAAUACUAAUAAAGAACCGAUAUGGUACAGUAUGCUCCAUACCAUCCGGUUCAGGCUGGUACGGCAUACCAAGCAUAGCACACAUGACAUACAUUUAGAAAUAUACUUGACUUAAAUUAAAAAUAUAAAAUUGUUUGAAAUGUACUAAUGUUUGGUAUAGGUCGACAUUACUUUCGAUCGCCCUCAUUCUAAUAGAAAACCGGCAGAAACGGGUUUCGAACUUUGCGCUCAAAAUUAAUGUUGAGCUGAACAUGGAUAUAGCCAGGAUCAAACGAAUUCGACUCAUGAAUUGAAGUAUGAGGACGAAGUAGGGAAUGAAGAGGAGAAAGAAAACAAAAACAAAAAAAAACGACAAGAAGAACAACAAUAGGGCCAGUGAUGGCACCCAGCAUUUUCCAAAUAUUAAUCGAGUGGCCCACAGCUCGUCCUCGUUUGGUAACAUGAUUAGUUUGAAGCUAGGAUAAGAGGUGGUUCGAUUUACGGGUCCUCUCCAUUGGAUACGUACAGUGUUGUUCCUUUCCGGGGUCCGCAAUGCAAGGUUGGUGGGUCGUCUUUUAUGAGAUUUUGGAAGGAUUGCGAGGGCUUCGUGCGGUGGUCGUUUCUGGCUUCGUACGACAGUACCGACGGUAAACAAUUUUUAGCCACCGCUUGUUCUACUUUGGAAGAAUAAACAAAAAAGAAUUAUUGGAUGUCACCUGGACUUGCUUGGUGAUGACCUCGUCAGAUUUCAUGUUCUUAAAUCCUACCAGAUCGGAUCAAUCGUACUAUUUGGUGUUUUCAGCAAACACAUAGCACAGGCUGACGACGAAAAAAAAUAAUGAUAUAUAUAUCUGGGCCAAUAAAGUUGCUGAUUGAGUGACUUUUUUUAUGGCUAACUAUUCAGUGGGUGGGGCGGAAUUGCCUAAUACUUUUUGAGCUGUUUUAUUUUUUGAUUUUUUUGGCUGUAUCUGUACCUGUUUGGUAUGAUUUUUUCUUUUUUUUUCUGCAGGAGGUGCUUGUUUAUUAAGUUGGUAAAGUUCUUGGAAUUGGAUUAAGUGAUCUGAGAUAGAAUCCUGCCAUUAAUAUCGGUGUUCGGAAGAUUAAAGAUAUAGCAAGAGGGCUGUUAUGUAUUUUGAAUCCAUCGAUCGAGAUCAAAUUGUACAGGUGGCUAAGUCACGGGUUCAUAAUUCAAGCAUGGGCUAAUAGUGGGUUGAUUGAGAUCAGGAAUGACUCGAUGCUUUCCCUAUGUAUUCCCCAACCUAAUCACGCGUUUUGACGGGUCGAUCAGGACAAGUUGAUCAGGGUUCAAAUUUCUAACAAGUUUAGAGCCUCUCAAGUUUUUCCUAGCCAACCGGCUGUUUGGUUUGCAAUUAUGUUUGUCCAUGCAUUACAUGAUGGCCCAUGCAUCACGAGCCAUUUUAAUCAAUACAUGGAUAGCCAUGAUUGCAAGUUUGAAUGGCCAAAGUCGGGUCCCAAACCUAAGAGUGUGAACUUUUAUGUACAUGUUCGUAAUUGAGUAUUUAUAUAGUGAGCUAGGUGACUCUUCUCAGCCUCCUUUUUCAUCAUCAUCAUCAAAAAAAAAAGAGAGAAUUUAUAUAGUGAGCGCAAGCAAAUCAACUCUUAUGCCCAACCCUAGGAGUAGUAGUUGAUUCGUAACUAAAUCCCUAAUCCCUGGAAAUCAUCGAAUAUUAGGAUCCAUCAAAACUUUUCUUCUAAAAAAUCUGCAUUCGUCCCUAAGCUUUCAGUGAGAGAGGGCUCCUACUUAACCAAGUAANNNNNNNNNNNNNNNNNNNNNNNNNNNNNNNNNNNNNNNNNNNNNNNNNNNNNNNNNNNNNNNNNNNNNNNNNNNNNNNNNNNNNNNNNNNNNNNNNNNNNNNNNNNNNNNNNNNNNNNNNNNNNNNNNNNNNNAUAUAUAUAUGAGAUUGUCGACUAUUAGAGACUGAUCACAACACGCAGUCGGAAAACAUCAAAUGUGGUCCAAGAAGAUACGAAGAUAUGGAAUGGAUAUCUUCAUUCGUAUGGUCAACUUAUUAUCUCCACUUUUUUAUAGUACAUGGCUUAGGUUGCAAGCAGCAAGCUGCCAUCAAAGCCACCUGCAUAGAGCUGCAUUAUAAACUGUUUUAUGCCCCAUAUGGUGCACCCAGCCUCCUGUAACCUAAGCUGGGCCCAUGAUUAUAAGUUUUGAUCAUAUACAUAACUUAUGUAUGUCAUUUUCCUAUCGGGCUAGUCGAUAACUAUGGAACCAUGCAUCCAUAUUAGAUUUCUAGCUCGAUCGGAGGAUCAAAUCAAACAUGGCUCGCACCGAGGCGCCUUACGACAAGCUAGCACUCAAUCAAAGGUUGGAGCCGACAGAUGUUUGGCAAUUGGAGGCCAAAUUGUCGACUAAUGCUGUAGAUAUGUACAAAAAAUAUAUGCAUGCAUACAUACAUGUAUAUGAUUUUAUUCGGAGAAGAUACAAAAUUGACACCCUGCCCACAAAAACUGUGGCAUUGUGGGGCAGGGCAUCACAUGAGCGAGCCUCGCCACAUCCACACCUCAACUCGUCGGGGAUUUCCACUAGGGAGAAACAACAAGGAGGCCUAAUGAUAACAAAGACAACAACAACAACAUGUAAUUUGUUUUUGUCCAUAUAAUUGAUCUUGUGAGGGAGUGAGGCAGAGGAUGAAGCCAUGUAGCUCCAUGGGCAUGGAGGCAAUGAUCAAAAGGAUCCAAAGGAGAAGAAGUCAGGUUGAUGGAGUCUUGGAGGAUAGAAGCCAGCGGGUGAAGGCAGGGAGGGUCCGCAUGUCGGCCCGGUAGUGGUGCUGGGUGAAUGCCAUGAAAUCGGCCCAUGUGAAGUCCGGGUACAGCCUCGGCCUCCCGAGAUCCCCCGGCGGUGGCCGCACCACCCGGUCCUCCCUCGGGCACAGGAAGAAGGCCAGCGACCGCCGCUCCCGCAGCCGAUUCACCACCGCCCGGUGCAGGCAGCUCUUGUACCGGCCGUUCGACAAGGCCUGCAAAUUCAAACACGAGAGCACUCUUAAUGUAUCCAUGCAUGCCUCAGUCCACAACUUAACCUAGCUAUCAUAUUCCUUUUGGUUACGUACUUAGCCGUCCAAGUUACCAUUUUUGUUGGAUGCUUCUAUGCCGUUUCGAAUUAUAUCUAUAAAAUAGAAUGAAGGCAGUGUGGUAAUGCAGGCAGUGGAGUCUUUGUGGCUUGACUUGACUUGUGGUAGAAUGAUUGUCUGCUCUUUUUUGCUAAAAAUGGAAGUAUCAUACAUAACAUAUACGGAUACAACUAAGAAAAUCAAAAAACAGUACGUCACGGAGUGCACAGGACAACUCUGCCUCUCCCACCCAGAGGUGGUCUUUUGAAUGGUUGGCAAUAAAGAGGCCACUCAGUCGGCGGCCCCAUUAGCCUCCCUAAACAUGUGCUUCGCUUGGAGCACCAUUCUAUCACAAAUCAUGGCCCGGAUAUCUCCCCGUAGGGGAUGGUAAUCACCGACCCCUCCGGAAACUUGCCGAACCCACCCAAUGACCGUCUGCUCCUUUCAAACAUGGGAACGGUUUCAUGCAUGCGAUGGUGCAUUGUUCUACAUCUUGGUUUGAUGCAUGUAUGGGAAAUUGAAAGGUGUGAGAAUACAUGCAUGAUGAUGGACAUCACUAGCACCAAAAUGAAAUAUGCAUGUCAAAGAUAAGUAUGGAUCAUUUAGUCUUAAACUCUUGCGAUUAAUGCGUCGGUGAGGUAUGAUUCAGUGGUAAAAACUUGGUAGUGGUUUGUAUUCUGCAGAAUUAGAUGCCCAAACUUGGCUACCCACCACAAAAUCUAGGAGAAUUGUUUGAAUUUAGCCACUAUUUUUCUUAGCAUUUUGUAGGUGCCAAUUAAUGCUUACUUGCAUGGUAUAAAAGUUAAUUCUUCAUGAGCACUUGCAACCGGCAGCAUCGAUCAUUUGGAAAGGAAAUCAGUUUAUUUUCAUCCCUGUCAAUCUACGGGCAGUAGAUUUAACAUGUGUUAUGAAUUGUAUGCACAAUAGCCCUAACUUUAUAUGAGGGUUUGAAUGUGAGAUGCUAGUUAGGACAGAGGCAAACAUAAAAUAACAUUCUAAUUAUAAAGGACUGGGUGAUAUGUUGUUCCUUGUCGAUGGAAAAUAUGUAAUGCUUUUGCUUUCCUUCGUAUUUUUGGUGCUACGAAGAUGGUAAUUAUGAUCAAUAUAGUUCAGUAACUAGGGGCCACAAGUGUCUCGUAAAAGAUGUGAUCAGUAGGAUCGGACAAAAAUGACAUGGCCCGUGCACUGUGCCAUACGCUACGUACUAUUUCCCUGCCCACCUAUGGGGGCAUCUUGACGAAACAAGACAAGCCAAUAUGCUGGCUUUUCUCUUAUGGUCAUGUCAUAAAUAUACGAGAACCUAGGCGUUAAAAUGGACAUGAAAGUAAAACCUUCAAACACA
RNAcentral lists this long non-coding RNA (52934 nucleotides) under Phoenix dactylifera (date palm). RNAcentral describes it as "long non-coding RNA (PDAC_LNC000854)". Lineage: Eukaryota; Viridiplantae; Streptophyta; Magnoliopsida; Arecales; Arecaceae. The record is from RNAcentral.